This 77871-nucleotide long non-coding RNA is filed under the name Setaria italica (foxtail millet). RNAcentral's name for it is "long non-coding RNA (SITA_LNC002363)". Lineage: Eukaryota; Viridiplantae; Streptophyta; Magnoliopsida; Poales; Poaceae. The record is from RNAcentral.
GCCUGAUUCAUGGUUUAGCACUUAAUGCUUCAUAACGAAGAGCACAAUGGUCAACGAGGUAGAUGACAUCCACAGUUUCAAACUAACUAAUGCAUGGCUCUAACAAGAGGACUUGAAUGUUUAAUUCUGUUUUUCUACGAUGGAGUACAACUAACUCACACCUUAUUUUCUAGAAGAAAGAAAAGAAUACUUAUAUUUAUCACUAGGAUAGUCCAACAAUUCUGUGUCUCUGCUGUGCCCUCGCUUGUUCAAACCCCAACUCAUUCCUUGACUUACACCUCUACAAAAGCAUCAUUCCUACUUGUUCAAACGGUACCUUGACACUUCUAACUCCUACCACCAGUGUCAUGGUGCAGUGGAUGCACUUCUACAAAUCUAGCGACCGACAGUGCAAUCUGUGGCUAAUGACUUGACUGAACAGUUAUCAAAAUUUGUCCAUCCUCUCCUCCGGAAGAAGGCCUAGCUAGUUUUUGACAAAGCCAAAUCUGCUGAAACCAGCAUAUAGUCGCCAUAUUGAUCGAUCCUAAGAACACGGCCCAAGAACGAAGAGUGUACAAAUACAACACCUAGUCAUUAAUUUUAUCCCCAAGUAAAUUAACUCCAUCCAAGUAAGAAAUCAACAGUUCAAGUUCCAAGUUACUUGAAGUACAUUUAUACACGUGCUCACUGCUCAAUCAACGACCUCAUCGCCUACCCAUGCACGCACACGCAUGUAGAGAGGACGUCUACUUGAAGUAGUAUGGGAGGUCGAGCACGUAGAGGAGGAAGUAGGCCCAGACCACGCCGGAGAUGCCGCCGAAGAAGAAGCCUCCGGUGAACUUGGCCCAGCCGUCGGCGGUCUGCAGCUUGUCGGCCUCCUUCUUGCGGCCGGUGAGCGUGAGCGUGGGCGCCGUGGACGGGUCGCCCUCGUUGAAGGAGGCGACGCCGUACAUGGUGAGGCAGACGCUGAGGAUGGUGACGAGCCCGGCGGCGCCCAGGGCGCCCGCCUGGCCGUGCACGGGCGUGUUGCGGAGCGGGCCGGUGAGGGCGAAGGGGCCCACGAGGAGGUAGCCGUGCGCAAGCCCGACCUCGAUGCCGCGGAGCAGCGGGCUCACGGCGGUGCGGUAGGCCGGGAGGUUGGAGAGGUACCAGGCGAUGAGCGGGCUGGAGGUGAUGGGCGUCUCCAGGCUGCCGAUGAAGGGGUCGCCGUUGAUGGGCUGCACCACCUGGUACGUUGUCUGCUCAAGAACAACAGACAGUUUCUAUCAUCAGAGCCAAAGAAUUUUGUUUGAUCAUACAAAGAUAUAUUAUUGAAUUGCUAAUGUUCAGAGCAUCAAAUUGUAUAUCCAAUUUCCAGUCCUGUGAGAUAGAUCAAAAUGAAUCACACAAGAUGACUGAACUGAAAUCAAGAUUCUAGCAGCAGCACACAUGCAAAGAACUGAUCGAUUUGGAAGCAUUUUGAAUGAAAUUGAUAAUUCAUGUUGCCUAUAGCCAAGAGCCAAAUCGAUCAAAACUAUAAAAAAGAUGCAUCACUAUUUCGUUGCUCAGUAGAUCCACUGACCUUCUCAGGCUGGAUGGCCUUCACGGUGAAGCGGGGCCGCCUGGUCAGCGCAGCGCCUGAAAGGCCCCUGGGCCUCGAGUGCACCAAGCCGCUCUUCAUCACCUGGCUCGCCAUGGGAGCGUACGCGGUAGCCAUCUCGACCUCUGCCUGUCUCUCACGAACAGGGCUCUUCCUUCCUGCAAAAUGGUAGAAGAGGUCUCCUUGUAUCGGCCCAAUUAAAGUUUGUGAUCUUUAGAUCCUGCAGGGGGUGUGUGAGAAGAUCUGUGGCGUGUUUGGAUGGAUGGGGCCCUGCAGCUGAGAUAUGGCUCAGAGCUGUGUGGCGCUCAUUGGGUGAAAGGAGUGAGCAACCCUAUCCCUUAUCCGAAUGCGUGGAGAUCUCCUCCCUCCACUGGACGCCUAGCUGGCGCCCCCAGCUUGCUGCCACGUGGAAACAGAAUCUGCUGUGCUUGUGACUUGGACUUCGUUUGGAUCGAUACUGAAGCAAUAUUUAUAUCUGCAGAAAGCAGAGCUGUUUGCGUUUUGGAAUCAAACUUCAACAAUACCAGCUCCCAAUAACCAAGAUCCUUCCUGUACAAUAUAACAAAUAUAUUUUGGGACUUUGUCAAUUCGACCUCAGGUUAGCAUAGUACUGCACAAACAAAAUUCAUAUAGAAGGAAACUCUUCCACCAGACUAUAUAUUGCCUGCGGUGACAAACUGCUUCAGAUGAAAAGAACUAUGCAAUCAAGUAAUGGCUCAGACCAGUGUUCAAUAAAUUUCCUCUUACAAAAGAAUCACUCACAUCGAGGCAUCAAGGCAUAAAAGAAUCAACAAAUGCCCUGUGAAUGGUUUACUACUCUCCAGCAGUUCAUGCUCCAGCAAAACUCAAGGGCCUGGGAGGUCGUUCCCAGUCCCCCAGAUGCUAUCUGACAUCGUACUGUAGGCGCUUGCUUUUCUGAAGACAGUCGUGGUAGCGGUAGAUGAGUCUCAGCAUGCAAUCCCUCAUGCAGGUGACAUCGAAGGAUUCAAUGAACCUCAGGUCUGACAAGCGGGAUUUGCCAGCAGCAUAGCGAUGGUACUCUUCAAAGACAGAUGAUAGGCACCAAUUCUGCAGCUUCCUGAAGCUGCCCACCAGACAUCCAGUGCGGUGCUGGAGUCAUGACAGAGAAAUCAAAUUCAAAGUCAGGACCAAAAAAUCAAGAUUUGAGGCAAUGAGAAGAGAAAAUAAAAGAACCAUCAAUUUAGAAUAAAGAAAUGCAUUUAUUGGUACCUUUCCUCUUUUGCAGUGGAUUAAAACUGGGUGAUUCCUAACAUCUGAGAACCAUAAAAGAGAACGAGUUACUGAUGGGUCAAAAUAGUUCCAUAUGAUCAUUUAACAUUAUUGGUCGACAGCAAAGACAAAUUGGAAAAGAUGGAGCCUAAUUCAGUACCAAGCAAGACCCUAAGAGCCCCCACGAUGGCAUCCACAGGUAUGGACACGUAUGGGUCCUGCAGAUGCAAACAUUUAAAUGUGCUGAACUUGCUGAUAUUGGAAUUCAAAAGAUCAGCAGACAACAAUAGUUGCUUCAAAUGAAAUUAACAGGAAUUAACAAUACAUAGGUCCCAAGUCACAGAUUCGUAAGGUGUAACAACAAGAAUCAAAUAGAAGUCAGACACUGUGUACGCACAAGAAACUGCAUGUCUGUUUUCAGUAAUGCAGUAUCUGAAAGUGUACAAUACCAGAAGAAACAAACUGAUCCUUGACAAGGAAACUGUAUCCAUCUGUACCUGCAACAACUUAUUCAUAACUGUGGAUAAAGGGAGACAGAAUUUUGUAGUAGUCCUGCACUUGGAUACCAUAAUAGGUAAUUUACCAUCCACAUUUGCUUCCAAAUAGGCAAACACCAGAUUAAUGAGCACCUCAAAAACCAGCACAGCGGCAUUCAAACAAUAAAAUUAACAUUCAAUGUAUCAGAAUUUGGAAAUUUAUCUGUUGAUUAUCCACACCACUGCAUCUUUGACAAUUGAUGUUAAGAAUGUCCAAUGGUCUACUUUCCUAAAUUUUAUUAAGGCAAAGUAUUAAAAAUAAGGGAGGCAUCUGAUGCCUGCUCAACUGACAACAAUAAAUACCCUUGCGAAGGUACAUGGAUUCCUUUUACACAGUAAAGAAAAGCUAACUAUAACCACCAUUCAAUGUUCUAAAGCAGUAUACCUUUGGAUCCAUAGAUCUAUCUUAAGAACUACAAAGCAUAUAAUAUAAGUGUACCGAUGUAUUUAUCUUCAAGACUGCAUACCUUUUGCAGUUGAAAUGCAAGUAUAAGCACUAAUUAUCAUUACCUCCAAGUUUGCGCUCUAAUUGGACAAUCCAACUUAAAACUAUCCUAUGACUGGAGGAGUGACUACCAAAGCUUCACAUAAUCCCAUCAGAUUUACCAAAGCAAAAAACAAUAGAAAAAACAUAUAGCUGUGCUGAGUUUUCCUUUCCCCCCAAAGAGCACAUUGAAUUCCACUACUGCCAGAGCGCAAUCGAGGUAAUCAAUCAAUUAAGUACUACGAACAACAUAUCAAAUAAACACGCAAUCUCAUAAGAAUCUAAGGGGAAAACGAGACAUAUAAUACACAAGGGAAGAAAAUAGGAAAUCAGACCCACCUUGGUGCCUUCAAUCCCGAACUGGAAGAGGCGGAUCCCCUCGGCCUUGAGGAACGCGGCGUUGGGCUCCGGGUACGGCUCCGGGCACAGGUACCUGCAGCACCGCCGCGUCAGCCACGGAGAUACGACGGCCCAUAUCGCCACCAAACACGACGCAGGAGGGAACCAAACGAACCGAUCGCAUCCAAUCCAAUAAUUCCAAUCUAACAAUUUCGAUUCGAGGUGGGGGGAUUUCGGCGGCUCACACGACGGAUCGGAGGCCGAGCCCCCGGAUGAAGCCGAAGCUGGCGGCGUCGGGGAAGCCCGAGCGGUAGACCCCCGCGUCCACCAUCCCGAAGUUGGCCGGCGGCGCCACCAGGCCCGUCCCCGCCCCCUCCUCGUCGACCUGCUCCAGGAUCAUGCCUGCCUCCUGGCCCGGCCCCGGCCGGGGCCCCGCCGAUCCGAGGGCGGGUUCGGCGGCGGCGCCGGAGAUCGCGGGGGACGGGAGCGCGCGAAGGGCGGGCGGCUAAGGGCUAGGGCUGGCUCGGUCUCCGCGAGGUGAGGGACGGAUCGCAACGGUCGGCUCGGUCGCCGUGGGGACGGACGGGCGGGGGCGGGGGUGGGAAUGGAAGGGCCCGUGGGCGAUGGGCUGGGCUGACCCGCCGCCUGCCUCUCGUCACGGCACGGGGGACUGGGGUGGGGUGGGGACGUGGGGUGGGGCGCGCGGCCGCACGGGCCCUUCUUGUACGGGUGGCCGGGUGGGCGGGUCAGUGGGAAAAGGUGACGCCUGAGUCCUGACGCGGGAGGAAGGCUCCGACACGGUGCGGCGGGGCUCGGUGGGUGGUGGGGUGGUGUCGUCGUCUCGUUGGGAGGAAGGGGAUGCGGUUUCCAGAACCCAGAGAGGGGUUUGGUUUGGUGAGGCGACGCCUGUAGUUUCGUACGGGCAAUGCAAUCGACGAGCGGGGGAUGUUUGUAAAGGAUCGCAUCCGAUGUUCGGAUGUUAAUGAGAAGGAUUAAAAUAUAAAUUAAUUAUAAAAUUAACUGUACAAAUGGAAUCUAAUUCGUUAAUUAUAAAACUAAUUGUACAAAUGGAAUCUAAUUCGCGAGACGAAUCUAUUAAGGCUAAUUAAUCCAUCAUUAGCAAAUAAUUAUUGUAGCAUCACAUUAUCAAAUCAUGAACUAAUUAGGUUUAAUAGAUUCAUCUCGCAAAUUAGACUCUAUCUAUGCAAUUAAUUUGUAAUUAGACUGUUUAAUACUUUAAUUAGUAUCAAACAUCCGAUGUGACAUGUGAGGCAGGGUAUCCAAAUAAACUAGGGGCCUGUUUGGAUACAGGCUCAUAAAGUUUAGUACCUGUCACAUCGGAUGUUUAGAUACUAAUUAGGAGUAUUAAAUAUAGUCUAAUUACAAAACUAAUUACACAGAUGGAGUCUAAUUCGCGAGACGAAUCUAUUAAGUCUAAUUAGUCCAUGAUUUGACAAUAUGGUACUACAGUAACCAUUUGCUAAUGAUGGAUUAAUUAGGCUUAAUAGAUUCGUCUCGCGAAUUAGUAUAGGGGUUCCGCAGUUAGUUUUAUAAUUAGUUCAUAUUUAGUCCUUCUAAUUAGCGUCCGAACAUCCGAUAUGACCCUCCUCCUAAAAUUUAAAGUUUAGUACAUCGCAUCCCCUAAAAAUUUAAAGUUUAGUACAUCGCAUCCCCUAAGUUUGCGUUAAUUUCAGGAACCGGCUAACGUACGGCCUGUGCAUUUCGGGCAACCAGGUUAUCAAGCUUUUGUCCGCUUUCUUUUUAUGGAAAAUACUUCCACUACAUUUCAAAAGCACAGCCACGGGUGAUCCAGAAACAGAAGAAAUUGCGUAAACAAAACAUGCAAUUCUAUUUAAAAUAUGCAUAUGAUCAAGUAUACACCACAUGAUUCACAACUGCAAAAUAUCAUAAACCUAGCAAUUUGGUUUUUGAUAGUCUAUUUACACAAACAGAUUUGCCUCUCCUUCAUCCCUUCAAUCAAAAAUUGAACAUUCAUGACUCGUGAUUGUGCGGGCAUCUCACAAAAAAAGAACUACCAGCAUAUUAUCAGAGUGCACAUUACUAUACUUCGUACUUGCACAACUGAUGAGCUCCUUUCGUGACCUGCCAUACAGCAAGAAAAAAUGGGACUACAUCAGUUAACAUGGACAUAAUAAAAGGGCAAACAAAUAAAAAUAAGUUGGAUGACCUGAAGAACUAGCAUGUGUAUCCUAAUUAUCAACAGAGGCACUCCAAAUAUAAAAUGUCAUCAGAAAUUGGAUGUUUUGCUUGUUUCGUAGCCAAAAAAAAUGCCUAACUAAAAAUAUUACUUUGCCUAACUAAUAAGAGUGUAUUGCCUAGGCACAGUAAGUAAAUGGCAUUUCAAUAAUAAAAUGAUGCAAACCAAUCUGCGACUAUCAAACUGCUGAAUUGAAUAAGAAAAUAAGGACCAAAGAACUGCACAAACAAGCUUAACAGAUAAGCCAAAAUCAAAAUUGUUUCCGAUGUGGUUGAGCAAAAUCAACCAAACCCACAUGCAGAUACAAUUGGAAAUCAACCACAGAUCAAACCGAAAGCAAAUGGCUGCAAGCUGCUAUGGGAACACAGAUCAAAAUGAGAGCAGAGGACAUGCUAAGGAAACAGAUGGGCUACUAAUCAAACAUCGAGCCUUGUACUGCUGGUGCCAAACAGUGCAAGUAUAAAUAACUAAACUACUCCCAAACCACUCCAAUAGUUGUCACAACUAAACUACUUGAAAAGAUAAAUCAGAAAUAUUUCCUUACCCCCACCUUUUACAUCCACAUCAAUAUCCAUUAUCAACCGUAGUUACUCAAGCUAGUCAUCUAGCUAUCCAACUCAGUACCGCAAAAAAGCAAAAUAACAGAUAGGCAAAACUAGUGAUGCUUAUAUGAUAAAAAAUGCAGGAUCUAGCGCAAAUGCUGCCAUGCCAGGAAAAAAGCCUACAUAUAAUUGAGGGUGAAAAACAUGACAUAUCAUUCCGGUUAAAUAUACGUGCUUGAAUAUCAGAAUCAGAAUGACACAUCACACAUAUCACAUCCAGUUCUGCAAGUGACUAAGAAUAGGACAAAACACUAGAAACAUGUUUUAUCUAAAUCAGGAUAUGUAAAUUGCUUAUCGGAAGCAUUAAAAUGCUAGAAGGACUAAGAUAAUUGCCAAUGAAAAACAAUUAGCAUACUAAUUUGAACAUAGAAAAUGAAAACCUUUUUGGGGGGCACAUAUGACACUGGAUGAUAGCGCACAUCCAUGUGCAUCUACAGUCCUAUAGGCAUUAUAUCAAAUCUCUGGGAAAAAAAAUCUGUAGUGAAAAUUACCAGAAUAAAAAUUGAGUAUGGUGCUUGGGUUAUAGGUGACAUUUUAGUUCUAGGUUACAUUGUAAAAAAAUCAAGUGGUUGUCUAGUGGAUAAAAAGCCAAUAGCACAAAAGCACCAAGCACAAAAUUAAUCAGUAGAAAGCCUGAACAAAAUAGAAUAUCGUGAGAACACUGAAAAUGCUAAUAUCACAACACAAAAACUCAGCUUAAAAACCUAACUUGCAAACUCAUACCAGAGCAUGAAAUUAAGCAGAUAAAUAAAUCUCAACCACCAAGAAACCAAUACUAAGUUGUUCAUCGGGAUUUAACAAAGUUGACAGGCAGCGUAAAAGAAAGCUAAUAGACAAAACUCUGCUGACAGAUUUUUUUUACUGCUUCAAGUUUGGUGCUCAAUCUUCUGUCAUCCAAACAAUCACGUUCUAUGCAUGCAUAUUGUAUAUAUUCAAAAAAAUAAUUUACCUGCACAUUUUAGCCCACCAAACCAUUGCCAUAUCGAGCUAGUAGUACUGCAGUAGUACCAGAAUUUAGUAACUAAUUUCUCAUGUUAAAAUUCUAAGCAUGAAUCUAGAUAUAUUUGAAAAAACUACACCUUUUAUCCCAAAAAAACCAUUGCCAUCUCAAGCUAGAAGUAGUAUCUACCAGAAGUUAGUAACUAUCUCAUGUUAAAACUUGUUCGAGCUUAGCAUAAACACUGCAUCAAACAACCAAGACAUGCACACACUUCAGCUAACACCUCUCAAAAUGGUAUAUCAACACACCUCAUGUCUUACUGCUCUUUGGACUAUUUGUUAAAGAUCAAUAUCAGAAAUGUCAUGAUAAAAAAUAGUUGAGAAUCAAAGCUGCUCACCAAUAUUACUACCAUACAAUCUCAACUACCUAUUUUUCCCAAUUAUCUCAGUUGAUAUAUUGCUCAGAAAAAUAACCAAACUGUGCGGCAACUGAAUUGUGAACCUACGGACAUGACGUCUGGAGCACAACCGGCAUCCGCAUGAAUACAGUGGUGAUUUGCAGCACGAACUCCCUCCAUGUCAACCACUGUGUCCCAGAGCAGAUCUCGUAGCACCAUGGCAUGCUCGUCUCCACCCUUGGCGCACCUAACAGCACCACCAUCAGAAGUUAUAAAACCUGAAACACGCCUCAAAAUAGAGGAGAACAGACAAGGGGACUCCAGCAGAGAGUAUGCGAGGUACGGAAUCAUGGAGACCUCGUCGGCCAUGGCUUCGUCGACCUCCUCAGCGAGCCAGAGGAAGCUCUCUCGUUAGAUUGCGAUGGAGCUUCGCAUUGCCGUAGUCGUCGCCACCGAUUUCUCCUCUUUGCGCGGGGCCGGGUAUAGCCAGAUCCGGCGAGGCGGAGGGCAGGGGACGCGCAAGCCUCGUCGCCGCGUCAGCCACGGCGUCGUCAACCUUGUCAGCAAGUCUGGAGAGGCUCUCUUGGAGGAUCACGAUGAAGCAAGCUGGAUCCGCCAGCCCCAAAUCCCUGAACCCUAACCCGGUCUUGCCUCAAUUAGAGGGAGGUAGGAGGGAAUGAGGAAUAGCAGCAGGAGGAGGAGAACCGACCUCAUCGCCAAUCAUCGCUAUUAGCCAUCAGAGCUCCCCGAAACGCCAUGGAUUUGGAAGAGAGCUUGCGGGAGGGGGAAGAACGGGAGGAGCAAGGAAACAGAAGAGACACGGGUGGGAGAACGGAUAAGGUUGAUGGCCACAUGCGUGUGCAAAUGUUGCGUGGGGAGUAGGGCUGCGGCCGUGCACUGAGCCAAUCUUACGGCCGGCCGGUAGUUUAAAAUUAAUGAAGAUGCUUGUUGCUAUUAAACUGGAAUGUUGGUUGUUGGUUUUAGAAUAAAUGGUGGGUGCAAGAUGGUUGCCAGCCAUCAUCCAAAUCAAAAGAUAGAAUUUAAUGGUUCUUGGCCGUUUUCUCUGUCUCGUGAUGGCGCGCUGCAAACACAUGGUUUUCGAGUACUUUUGGGAAAAAGAAGAUUCUCAAUUAAUACAUGAUAUUCUCCGUCAAUGGUAAAUAUCUCAUGCAAUAGUUAUUAGACAAGAAAUCGCUUAAAACAACAUCGUAUACAAUAAGAGUUUGAUAAACACGCAAGUACUUGUUGGGAAAAAAAAACAAUAAACACGCAAGUCAUGUUACAAUAUUGAUGAUGAUAUUCAAUUUAUUUAGGGGACAUAGUGACAUAUGUUACGUAAAUUUUGUAACCUAUUUUAAUAUAUGCAAGGGCUUCCGUUUGUGAGUCUGUAGACCAUGUUUUCGUUCUUCAAUUAUCAACAAUAAUUGUUGUGCUAUUUUCUUCAUGUCUGGACGAUCUUUGAUGUCGGUGCUCAGAUAUUUAAAUGCAAGAUUGAAGAUAUCUUCAAUAACAACCUCCUCUUCCUUUUUUGCAAUCUCCUCAUCAACCAUAUCAUUUACUAUCUGUUUUCCUUUAAUGAAGCAAGAACGGAAGUAGAUAUGGUGCAAGUUCAUUCUCCACAAAAUCAUCGCAUACCUUCCUCCUAGUGAUGAGUUCUACUAGUACAACUCCGAAACUAGAGGAUGCCUUCACACUUGAACUUUGGACCAGCAUACCCAUUGCUAACUUCUUUUUGCGAGAUUCGUGGUUCUGAAGCAGAAGGUUGAUGAUACUUCUUGUAAUUAUUGCUUUGAGAGGCUCCAUUGCUCAAUGAAGAAGAUACUUGAUUCACAUGCCCAAGUCCAUGACUUAACAUUUGGGGUAUGUUGCCAUGAGUGCUGUGAGGGAUUCCUCCAGCAUUUUAUGCCCCAUAGAGAUGUUCUUCCUUUCGACAAAACUGAGAACCCCUAAAAGAAAUAAAAAAAGUGAGAAAAAUUAGGCUUAAUAGAUUCGUCUUGUCGAAGCCUAAUUUUUCUAAGACACAGUCCCAUGAGAACUCACGCAACACAAUCAGAAUGAGGAUGAGCAUGAUGCCAUAGUUUUUAGAGUUUUGGGCCUUGGCCCAAAUAAAUUCCAGAUAAAUUUUAAAGAUGUGUACUAAAAUUUUUCAGGUGGAUGGUAACCUAUUUUCACAGUGUUCUACCCGCUUAUGAUCCAAGGACUACGCAAGCGGAAAAUUGACCUCUUGUGGUAAGCGAUUAACACAUGUUGUUCACUUAGGGAACAUAUGUGAAAAAUAUGAUUUUUCACAUUUGGUCUACAUAAGGAACCUCAUGUGAUAAUCCUAUUUUUCACAUGUGGUUCCUUAAGUGGACCCAGAUGGUAAUCAUUCCAAAACCUUAAACAAAAGCACCCACACGAAUAAGCUCCAUUGUUCUUCAGCCACCAUCGCACUCGGUCCUACGUGGUAUCGAGGAGCCUAUCUAGAUCCAAACACAAUGAUUAGAUCUCACUACCCUGCAUCCCUUGCAUACUACUCCCUCCGUUUCAAAUUAUAAGUCAUUCCAACUUUCUUGGAGAGUCAAAGCAUCUCAAGUUUGACCAAAUUUAUACAAUAAAGUGCUAACAUUCAUGAUAUCAAAUAGGUACCAUUAGUUUCUUUAUUAAAUAUAUUUUCAUAGUAUAUCUAUUCGGUGCCAUAAACUUUUGUGAUUUUCUCUAUAAUUUUAGUCAAACAUAAAAAUGUUUGACUCUCCAAGAAAGUUGGAAUGACUUAUAAUUUGGAACGGAGGGAGUAGUUCUUAGAUUUGCCUACCUCCGCUAUUGACGAGCUCGCGAUCCACUCCCACAUGGGACGAGGACACAAACGCUACUGAGCUCAUGAAUAUGACCAACCUCCGGAGCACCACCACCACCCAUGUGUAUGAAGUCAUGGAUCCCAGGGAAAACUUUUUCUGUGAAAUUUCAGAGAAAUAUCCAAAAUACGUGUUUAUCAGUAGGUCCCAUAAUUUUUAUCUACCAAAAUUUCAUAUACUGAAACUAUCUAAUAUAUUAAACUUAUGAUAUAUUGCCUUAUUUCUUUGUUGUUACAUACAAUGUUAUGUUAUGAUAUAUGCUAGUUUAGGGACCAUUUCUAGCGAAAUUAUGCAAAAAUAAAUUUUAAGAAAAAAAUUAUCUGAUAUGUUUCCAUCCGAUAAAUUUUAUUUCCUAAUUUUUUUAAGGGCAAACUAUGGGGAACUUCCCCACGGCACUUCAUUUUCAUUUCAUUAUAAAAGAGAUGAAAAAAGUGCAGGGGUAUACUUACAUAUGGAAGAGAAAUAUUUACAAGAAAGGGGAGAGGUGGAUUAAGCUAUGUAAUUGUGUCUAGCCAUGGUAAAACUAUUAGUCUAUGGUCCUCCCUGACACGGUGCAGCUGAAGGACUACUUGCUCCUUGAAUCUCACGACCCAAAGACGUGUUGACACUGUUUUCCCCUCAAAGAUGAUUGCGUCGUUCCUCAUCUUCCAGAUUUCCCAAGCGGCAGUUAAGAAGAUUUCCAUAAAGAAUGGUAGAUGAGAAGCGUCUUUUUGCGAUCCUUACACGGUCAUGUGUAUCGGCUUGGUUACCCCCAGGUUAUAUGCAUAGUGUUCCAGCACCUUACAGAGAAGGGGCACUCAAAAAAGAGAUGGUCUCGCUGCCCCGCGUGCACGUCGACAAGCUGGUGAUCUGGAGCAGUCAAUAGCUUGGCAUUCUAUGCCUUCGCUUUCCAGAGUACCGAUUGGUUACGGAUCACCAACAAUUAUAUAGCUCACCUGUAAUUACUUUGAGCUGCUCUUAGUUUCGCAGAUUCUAAGGCACUGAGAUAAGUUCUCUACAAGGCCCUGUUUGGAAGACUGGUUUUCAGCCUAAAACCGGUGUAAUUUACGGAUCCAGAAUUUUUUCCAAGCUCAACGUGUAAGCCCUUGUUUACUUCGCGAAUUUGGGAGGUGCCAAAUUACUGUAGCAACACUGUAGCGUUUCGUUUGUAUUUGUGAAUUAUUGUCCAAAUAUUGACUAAUUAGGCUCAAAAGAUUCGUCUCGCAAAGUACAACAAAACUGUGCAAUUAGUUUUUGAUUUCGUCUACAUUUAGUACUCCAUGCAUGUACCGCAAGUUUGAUGUGAUGGGGAAUCUUCUUUUUGCAUAGUGUAAAAGUUGGGAGUUUGGAGGUAAGAGAACAAGGGCUAAUUGCUGUUUGGAUAGCAAGUAAACCUAUUUAAAUUACCGUCGGAUUAGCCAGUUACAACCGGAAAUAAAAAAUCUCCUCCGGUGACAACAGUUUUUAUCCGACAAGUAUCGGGCUCCCUCCGCUCGCUCGCUCUGCGGCGGCCACCGGCUCCAUCCUCUCCCUGCUCCGCCCCGUCUGCCGUAGCCGCUAGCUCCAACCUCUCCCUGUCAACGCCGCGCCGCCGCCUGCUCCGCCCCGUCUGCUGCAGCCGCCAGCUCCAACCUCUCCCUGUCAACGCCGCGCCGCCGCCUGCUCCGCCCCGUCUGCUGCAGCCGCCAGCUCCAUCCUCUCCCUGUCAACGCUACGCCGCCGCCCAAUCUUCAGGUGCGGUACUGCCGCUGCUGCGGCCAGCGCCUCCUGCAUCUCAUCUCUACCCAAUCAGAUGCGCCAUCCGGGUCGCUGCUUCUCCGUCGGCGAGCUCCAGAAGUGGUCCUUCCCCAAGUUUGCAUCCGCCGCCAUCGAAAUUUGAUACUCGAUGCGAAUGCUUUUGAUGAAAUAAUGGGCUUGGCCCAUUCUAAUUUUAAAAAUUCCAAAUAAAUAUCAAAAAGUCCAUGUGGUCAUGAGCAAGUGGUGGAGUGGUGCAAUCUUUUAGUUCCAAAUGGCCAACUUAAAUAUGAAAGUUAUCUCUACUCCUCCAAGCUAUGUGUGUGCGGAGAGAAGGAAAGCUCCACGCGCGCUCGCUCGCCACGCCACGUGAUGCGGCUCCUGCGUGAAUAGUCCGCCGAAAUCUAGCCCCUCGCCUUGCGGGGUGCGGUUUCCUUUUGCCGUUUUAUUUUUUGUUUACUUGCCCUUUAAGUCAGCGAGAUAUAUGGAAGUCUAAUCAGUUUAGAUCACGAUCGCGACGUGAGAUAGUGGGCUCUCCUAUAUAUAUACAACCUAUCGGUCUCUACCAAAAAUAUAUCUAAUCGAGCUAGGGUUUUUGCCUCUUCUCACUGCUGCGCCGCUACCGUAGUCUACUCCAUCCCGAGCGCCAGCGUGCACCGGCGAACGGGAAAGCGGGUCUCCGAAACCUCUCGCUCCUGUGAUCCUGCACUGGGAGAGAGCGAAUAAGGUUUUUGGGAAGCGCUCCGCAUGACUGCUCAAGGUCUUCACCACAGCUUGUCUUCCGUCCCAGUCCGGCGUCGCGGCGGCCCAUGGUCUUCGGCGUCAUCUGCUGCGCUCCGUCUGCAACACCGUCGUCGUUCCGUCAGCACCGCUUGCUAUCACAGCUGCAUCCGCAAAGCACGUACGUCGUGAUCCAAUCUGUUAUUUCAGCAUGUUUUCUAAGAUAAUGAAGUUGUGCUUGCUAUUACCUAGUAUGUUAGAUAAUUACAUGCUAGGUUUUAUUCAUAUCAUAAUAAAUCUAGUUUGGAAAUUAAUCAUGCAGUUGUCUAAUUUUUCAACAGCUUUGAGGUUCAAGCCUCCAAUUCGAUGCUCUGGUCGUGAGAUACCUCUUCAGUGCAGCUCCUAUUUGUUGCUCUGGUUUGAAAUUUUUUUGGAAGUCUAAUCAGCCGCUAGGAUUGCUUCAGCUCUCCGGGAGUGGCUCCCUUGCUUCUUUCUCUUUUUUCCCCUUUCUUUUUCGUUCAAUUUGACGUUUGAAAGGAGGCUCCAUGAUUUUACACAAACAGCUAGUUUAGAACAACUCCAAGAGCUCCCUUAACCUACACCAAAACCUUAAUUGGGGAAAAUAGUAAAAAAUAUUGCUCCAACAGGUCCCCUAAACCUCCCGCAAAUUUGCGUUCACCCGCAUCCGGAGCUAUUUUUCCUGUAAAUACACACGGCGCACCUCCUUCCCCAAUCCAUCCACUCACGCCUACUUGCGCCUUUUUUCCCACGCGCGCCAUUUUCCUGAGUGUCUUCGGCGGUGGCAGCGCCGUUCCUUACCCUUGCGGCCACGGCACCCGGGCUUCCCCGAGCGGCGGCGUCGCUGGCCUGUCCUCCCCGAGCGGCGGCAGCGCCCGGCCUUUCCUCCCCGAGCGGCGGCUAAGCCGGCGGCCGGCCCUGUCCUCCCCGAGCGACGGCGGCGUCGGGGCUGUCCUCCCCCCGGCGGCGACCGGCCCUAUCCUCCCUGAGGGCCGCGACAGGAAGGGCCGCACUGUUCUCUGGAUCAUCGGUAACUAGUUCCUAGGUACGUAUCAGAUUUUCCCCAAAUCACAGGCUUCUAGGCUCCAGCAUAUACUGAUGGACCAUGCCUCUAUUUCUAUGUGCAGCUCGAGGCGGAGGAGGCACUACAGCGGCGCCCGGCCUUCCCCGAGGUCUUCUCGGGCGGUAGCGGCGCAAGUUCCCCAGCAGCGGCGGCGCCAGGCCUUCCCGGGCGGCAGUGGCGCAAGAGGCCCGUAGAAGGAGCCACCAAUGUCAAGUGCUCCAAUCCGGCAAGUUCAAGAUCGGCACGACAGGCAGAAGAUGCGUCGGGUCAUGGCUGUCGGCGGCCCCAACACCCAAUGGAAUGGCGGUGUUGCCGGCGAUGAUGAUAAUCCCCUGGCGGAGCAUUACCCUGGCAGCGACACCUCCUAUGCAUCCUUUGAGCACAUGGCCAACGGCAAUAAUUUUCUGAAUGGUAUGGUUCUCAUAAGCUGUUAUCCUAAUUCGUCAAUCAAAUUCAUGUUUUGUUUUUGAAUCAUUUUGCUCAAUGAAUACUCAUCUAUCUGUUCCAUUAAGCUGAGUACCAUUGAGUACCACUGUUCACUUGUUCAAUUCUUGAGAUUUCUGUCCUGGUAAUAUUCUGAAUUAGAUUAGAACAACUUUAGCUGGAAAAUCUGAGCUGAUUGUUCUACACCCAGCAUUCACUAAAUUUGGGACUGCUGAUUGCUUAAUCUUCAAACUCUAUGCCCAAUUUUUGCCGACCUUCACUUCUGUUCCUCUGGAUCAUCAGCUGACGAACUAAUAUGUCCUGAUCAACAAUAAGAAAAGCAUGUACAAUAUUUAUGGAAACAGAGCAAAGGCAUCCAAUCAGUGAGAGUAAAAAAGGACUCAUGCAAGAGCACUUUGAUUAGAAUUGCUAGUACCAUAGUUUAGAUUCAGAGCAGGCUGCCCAUUAUUGUAAAUCUGAGUUAAAAUUCAGCAUCUGUACUUGAGCGCUUGCAGUUGCUUGAGAAAUUGUUACUGCCUACUACUAUUCAUCGACUGAAAACAGGCUGCUCAUUAUUGUGAACAUGAGUUCUGCUUUCUUUUUUCACAGCUUGAGAUAUGAGCUUCAAGUCACUCAUAGUCUCCAGUGUCAUGCUCUGGAAAUCCUGCUUCAGGUGGAGCUGUGCUCGAUUUUCCUAGCAGUGAAUCAUUUUCCGAUGCUUCAAUUGUUGGGUUAUUUGCAAUAAGAUUCCCUCUGUUCAUAUUCUCAAGAAUAUUCUCAAAGUUUUGCCCUUCUUGACUUAUGUUUCAAAGCAUGCUUAAUAUGAUCAACAGUAUAGGGAUAGGAGUCACAGAACAGGAAUAACCACCAUGAUUCUCAAACCUUUACUAUGACAAUGUUGCUUGAGUAAUUGGGAUAGGAGUCCCAGAACAGUUGCUUGAGUAAUUCAGCAUCUAGUUAGGAUGUUGCAGGAAAACAAGUCCUAACCAAAUAAUUUAGUCAUAUAACUGAGCUGACAAAACUAAUUUGGAAAAAAGUUUUGAGAUAUCCAGGCUGCAGCAGCAGCUCUCCCACGUAGAAAAAGAUAUCAAGGCUGACAAACUUACAUUCUCCAAUUUGUAGCAUUAGAAAAAGAAAGGAGCAUCAUAAAACAACUUUGAAAAAGCAGAAGAUACCAGACUGACAAGCGAGCCAUUCUCAAGUGACAAUACCAUUAUAAUUGGAAAGACAAAAUCUUAUUAAUGCCAGGUCAAAAUUCUAAAACCGAGAGCAAUACUUGCGCGAAUUCUGAAAUGGAAUAACCCAACAGAUAUGUUGUUUGACUGAUACAAAAGUACAGAGAUAGUGAGGACAUCUGGUAGUUCUUACAGAAGAAAUGGAAGUGGAAUCCAACUAAAAAUAAUAUAUUUACCUCUGUUCAUCAGCAUGGUAGAAUUACUACUGCUCUAUAUGUUAUGUUCAUUGAGGUUUGAUAGAUAACUUAUCAAUGAUUAAAUGCUUGCAGGAAAUAGAUAUUUUUCCAACAUGAUACUGGAUGAAACCAAUCAAGAAGAUUUUGAUAAUUAUAGCAACACAUAUGCUGACCAACAAUCACAGGCAAUUGAAGAAGUUCCAGCAACCCCAUCCACGAGGUCAAACCAUAAGAUAUCCAAGAAUUUUAGUGACCACAAAGAUGAGGUUUUGGUUUCAGGGUGGCUGAAUGUAAGCUUGGAUCCAAUCGUAGGCAAAGAUCAAAAAAGUGCCAAGUAUUGAUCUCGUAUAUAUGAGUACUUCAAUGAACACAAGACGUGCCCCUCAAUGCAUACCAUAAAUUCUCUCAUGCACUGGUGGGCAUACAAAAAUGUGUGAACAAGUUUUGUGGAUGUCUAUCACGGAUUGAGUUAAGACUUCAGAGUGGUACUUAUUCACUAUGCAAUACAAGGAUUUGUUUCAAAUAUUUUACAUUUAUACAUCAUAUAUGAAUAUCCAUUGGAUGUUGGUGUGCGCAAGUUGCAGAGGCAUGUGCUUUGUACAAGUCCGAAGAUGAACAUAAAAAAGCAUUCCAGUUCAUGAAUUGGAAUAAGCUAAGAACACAAUCAAAAUGGCUUGCUAAAAUUGAUGAAUUGGCUGCAGAAGACAAGCUCAAAUGUUGGCCCAAGUGCAAGUUUACCAAGUGAAUUAGGAGAAGGUGAGGUUCAAGGCAUAGAGGAUAAUGUAUUGACAAGGCCAAUUGGUAAGAAGAAAACAAAAGCAGCACUGCUGCAAGAGAAGAAAAAAAUUAUGACAGCAACCUUAGAAAAUAUGUGGGCACAGAAGAAAGAAACUGAUGGGGAGAAAGAGCUAAAAAAAGAGGAGAAGUUUAACAAAGCAUUUGCUCUUGAACAUGAUCGAGUUGCUCUUGAACAUGAUCGAGUUGCAAAUGAAAAACUACUUCUUGAGUUGAGGAGCCAGGAGGUCCAGUUGCAGAAAAGGAGGGAUGAAGAGAGGAUUAUGACCACGGACCUUACUGCCACGCCAGAUGAGCAAAAGAAAUACUACAUGUCCUUACGGGCUGAGAUCAUGAGCCGACUAUCUAUGCCUAGUGCUUAAUUACUAUCAUGUUUGUUCUGUUGAUUUAGGAACUCUUUUCCAAUUUCAGACUUGUUUUAUUUACUUUGAACCUAUCGAUGAUUUGGUCUGUUUGAUAUUGAACGGUAAAGCCAUUUAGAAAUUUCAGACUUGUUCUGUUCUGCUAAUGAUGGCUUACUUGGUUUGGUAAUUCAGUGAUGCUUUAUGUUGCUUGCUGCAAACAUGAGAGAGUGGUGUUCUGAAGCAAACUGCUUGGUUUGCCUUGUAAUGUCAGGCAUCAUAAUUUUGCACUCUACAAACUUAAGAGGCAGUAUGCAAACAUCCAAUAAAUUAGUAGUAAUGUACCAACAAAUUGUUUAUAUCUGUAUGGUUUAUCUCAAAUUACAAAAAAAAUUUGUAACGUAGCAAAAAUUAUUAAAAGUAACAAUUACUAUGAACUAUAGGCAAUUAUUUGUAGAGGUCUGGAUGAUGUUGCCACAUGUGCUCAAUGAGGUCAUCUUGAAGCUGAUAAAUAUCUUUGUCCCUUAUAUUCUUGUAAUUUUUAAUAAACUCCUCAAGUUCAGGUAUUUCAUCGUGAGAAAUCUUCACCUUUUCUCCCACCCUAUUAUAGUUUAAAUCAUCUUCCUCAUCGCACUCAUCCUCAACUAUCAUGUUGUGCAUAAUGACACAAGCCCUCAUGAUUUGCCUAAGGGUGUCUUGAUCCCAAAAUCGAGCUGGCCUCCUAACGAUAGCGAAACGAGACUGUAGAACCCCAAACGCUCGUUCCACGUCCUUCCUUUAAGCUUCUUAGAUAGUUGCAAAAUAUUUUUUCUUGUUACCUUGUGGUUCAGGUAUGCUCUUCACAAUUAUGGCCCACGAGGGAUAUAUGCCAUCAGCAAGAUAAUAACCCAUUGUAUAUUCAUUGUUAUUAAUGGUAUAAUUCACCUUUGGAGCUUGACCUUCAGCUAGUCGUGCGAAUAAAGAAAACUGGUGCAAAACAUUGAUAUCAUUGUGGGAACCAGUCAUCCCAAAGAAAGCAUGCCAAAUCCAAAGAUCUUUAUCUGCAACAGCUUCAAGUAUAAUUGUAGGCUCAUGCACAUUCCCGGUAUACAUACCUUGCCAUGCUGAAGGAUAAUUUUUUCACCUCCAAUGCAUACAAUCAAUCGACCCAAGCAUACCAGAAAAACCUCUACUCUCUCCAAUGGCAAGUAAUCUAGCAGUAUCAUCUUCAUUAGGUGAUCUCAAGUACUCAUCUUCAAAAACCUCAACAACAGCAUUGACAAACCUUCUUAAACUCUCAAUAGCAGUACUCUCACCAAUACGGACAUAAUCAUCUAUAGCAUGAGCUACUACUCCAUAAGUUAACAUGCGAAAUGCUGCAGUAAUCUUUUGCAGACUAGAAAGGCCAAGUACACCGGCAGCGUUUCUUUUCUGCACAAAAUAUUCAUCGUGUUGCUCUAUCCAUAUACGUACAAAUAGUGUAAGCCUCAUUUGAAACCUGCAUGUCAAGAGUAAUGAGACACAUGUAUAAUAUGAAUUUUUUGAAAAAAUGGUCCAAAUAAAUCUAUUGUUUACGUACCGUCGUCUAAAAUAACUAUGUCCGUACGUAGGAUUAUCUAAAAAAUAAUCUUGAUACAACCUUUGAUGUCCUGCUUGUCUGUCUCGCCGAAGUACUCGAUGACCUAUGAUAGAACCAUGAUGUUUUAUUUCAUCAUCGGACUCAUCCGCAUCCACGGCCAUAUGAGCAACAGAGAGUAAGAAAUCAUCAUCGUCAUCAUCUGACAACGAAUCCAGCACCAGAUGCAUUGAAAGGCUUCGUCGACUCAUAGCGAAUCUUGGACGGUCGGCACCAGAUGCAGAGGCUGCCGGCGUUGCACGACGCACGCAGUGCGCAGGGGCCUUCCCCAAGUGGCAUGAUUAGGAACCGGAUAAGAAAGGACCUGCGCAAGGGCUCCAGUAUCGGCGUUUGGAGGAGGGCGCCGUGUGCAGCUGCCAGUCUGGCGGCGAUGGCAGCUGUGAUCGUGAGGAGGGGAUGGGAAAAAAGGGCCGUGCGCAAGGGCUGGGAAAAUAGGGCCGUGCGCAGCUGCUGUCUGUGGCGUAAUCGUGAUGAGCGUCUACGGCGUGAUCAUGACGAGGCUGGGAAAAAAGGCCGGCGACGCGAGGGUUCCCAAGGUGCUGAAAAAACAACAGAUUCUAAUGAGUCCAAUACGAUGACGUGGCAUGUUUUGAAUUAUUGGAGAAAGUUUUUAACGAUAUGCUAUGAGCUCAUAUAUUUUAGGGGGAAAAGUUUUUAGCAUAACCCUCAAUAACUCAUUUUCUAAGAGAGCUCUUGGAGUUGCUUUGCAGAGGGUUUUUUUUGCACAACAAAUUACAUCUGGAAUCCAUUUACAGGUGAAACAACCUACAAGAUUCCCAAACAGUCGAUGCACACAGAUCCGGAACCUAAAUCAAAAUUGAGAUAAUUUUCCAUAUGUAUCCCCCACAUUUACAGCCAGCAACCGUAUUUUCGCCCUACCAGCUGCACGUACCGGCCCUUAGCCGUGUCACGUGUUACAGCCAUCGAUCCCAAAGAUCCCGAGAAGCUCAGACGGUGGCAAGCUUCUUGCCGAGGAUCAUGUCGUCCGUGGUGAAGUCGGCGGCCUUCCGGAACGUGCCGCGGCCGAAGUCGAGGUUGUACGAGUCGGUGAGCCCCUCGACGAGGUCGAACUCCGGCGUCCACCCAAGCUCCCUGGUCGCCUUCUCGAUCGACGCGAAGAAGUGCUGGAAAUUAAAAUCACCCAGCGUCACAAACACAAGCCAGCUCUCAUCUAUCACUAGUAACACUGAGGGAUCUCUAUCUUUGUACCUGGUCCCUGAACGGGAAGGCCUUCUUCUUGCCGAAGUCGAAGUCCUUGGGGUUGUAGUGGACGAGCUCCGGCUCAGGGAACCCUCCAGCCUGCACAUCAAACAGCCACAUCCAUUGCUGAAUCGCUGAACUCUGAACAUCACUAUUUCUUGUUCUUGGCGAGAUCUCUCAUUACCUUUGCGCAGGCCCGUGCGAGGCCGUCGAAGGUGACGUACUUGGCCCCGGAGAUGUUGAAGAUCUGCUGGCUCGCCUUGGGGUUGCCGAGCACCAGGUUGAACGCCGUGGCCAGGUCCUUGACAUGGCCGAGCUGGGUGAUCUGGUUGCCGGCGCCGGGGAUGGGGAUGGGGCGGCCUUCCUUGAGGCGGUGGAAGAACCACUCCUCGACGGGGUUGUAGUUGAGCGGGCCGUAGAUGUACACGGGCCUGAUCGACGUCCAGUUCACGCCGCGGGAGGUCAGCAGGCUCUCCGUCUCCAGCUUCCCCUUGUGACGGCUCUUGGGGUCCACCGCAUCGCUCUGCCGGCCAAGAACAAUGGUGAGAGCCCCUGGCGCCAUUUUAAUGGUGCCAUUGUGUGACAGAGAGGAUUUGGACAAACCUCGCAGUGUGGAAGAAGGUCGGAUUUCAGGUACACUCCGGCUGAUGAGCAGUAGAUGUACCUGGAAGUUGAUUUUUUGGAAUUUGGGACGAUGAGAGAUGCAUUGGGGGGGUACUGUAUGUAGCUUGUGAAGUGUCAGAUGAAGUGGUUAUAGCUUACUGUUCCAGGUUGGGCAAGGCUUCGAUUAUGGGCUCAACUUCGACAGCCUCGCGUCCUGAAACCACCGUGAGGCAAAAUGCAUCAACAGCAUGAUGCUACACAAUGUUAAUGCUUUGGCGAAAUGCGAUUGACGAUGUGGUGCUAUGCAAUGCUAACUUUUUACUAAAACCUUUCCUAAAACAGACUACUAAGGGUGAUUGCAGAAGAGCACUUUCACGGUGCCCACAGAAUUAGCAUACUGGUUUGCACCUGAGCAGGUUCUUUACAGUCUAUGUAUAGAGUUUUGGACUUUCAGUUGUAGUUAUUUAAGCUUCGAAUAGUAUUACCGUUGAUGUCGUAAACGACAUUGUAUCCCUUAGCAGCAAGGCUUGUCUUGACGAAUUCGAAGUCCAUCCUGUCACCUUUCAAGUGCUGAAUCUGUACAGAUGCAAACCAUCCCAAACCCAGCAUCAAUACGGAUGAACUUGUGAUUUCGGUAACACUUUUAUACUGUCCUAAACAGUAUGAUAUCCUCUAUACCUUUAGUAUCCUUACAUUCUUACACGCACAUUACAUGUGAAGAAUCCUACUGAAUACUGACACAGUGUAUACAUAUGAAGAAAAGAGGAGGAAACAGGGCACCUUGGAGGAGAACUCUGCGUACUCUGCAUCGGACUCUCCUGGCAGCUGCUGGGUGAUGGGUGCCUUUCCUCUAGUGAACAAUGUAACCUGACCAAACAGAACUUCAACUUUUUUUUUUAAAAAAAAACUCUUUCUUUUAACUGACUGUACUAUUGCUUGGCCUACUGAUCAUUGCUGAGCAAAGGCACUACUGACCUGAUGGCCCUCCUUGACAAGGAGCCUGGACAGGAAGACACCAAUGAACCUGGUUCCCCCCAUGACAAGAAUGUUCUUGGAGUCCGCAGCCGCCGAGACCUGAAUCCUCGCCCCUCUCGGCUGCCAUGACCUCCUCCUCUUCUGCCAAACAAAAAUUUCCCACCCCUCAACCACGUCAGGUUCAUCGGCAUGCCGGAAUACGUCACGCUCACUUAUCAACAAAGGCAUUCCUGUUCUGCGGAUUUUGUCACCUGCGUUGAGACGGAGACGGCCGCGCCGCUGAAGUCGGAGAUAGGAGAUGGGAGGAGGAAGCUGCUCUUCAGGGACGCCGUGGCCGCCAUGUCGCUCUUCCUCCGCUCUACUAUAAAACGAAGAAGAAAACAAGAGAGAGAAGGAUUGAUGGCUGUGUAUCGCUUGUCUGGAUCUUGUGGUUCAGUCUGUGCUAAUGGAACAAGGAAAGAGGAGAGAAAUGAGGUGAUGGGACGGUUUUGGCGUGUGUGGAGGGGGAAGCCAGCCCUAUCCUCUGUUGGAUCAUCUCCUCUCGUUCUUUCAUCUGUCCACUUGUUGGCAGCUUGCUGAUCGGCUGAUACUGAUAGCGACAUCUUUGUUCUAGGACAAACCAUGGGUGAGAAGGACUAAAGGUGUGUCCAAUCGUUGUUCGUUUAAACAUAUAUUGUAGCUCAAUUUGCUAUUGGGCAAUUGCUAGCAUUCCUCUAAUAAAAAAUAUACAGUUAUUAAAGUGGGAAUAAUUUUAAAAAAAUGCCAUAAAAGACAUAUGAUUGGAAAUUUCUAUUUGAUGCACCACGGAACCAGACACUUUGCCGAGUACCACAGACACUCGACGAAGACACGAAAACACUCGGCAAAGGCUUUGCUGAGUGUAACAUUCGGCAAACAGCAUACGGCAAAUUUCCUGUCGGCAAAGACUAGUUUGCCGAGUGUCAAAACUCGAGCACUCGGCAAACAUUUUGCCGACGGCCAAAAAACACUCGGUGAAAAUAUGUACUCGGUGAAAUACGCGCUGACGGCGUCGGGGGUAACGGCGGGUUUGCCGAGUGCCAGACGGUAGACACUCGGCAAAACCGGCUUGUUUGCCGAGUGCCUUGUCCCUGGCACUCAGCAAACAAGGGGUCUUUGCCGAGUGCCUUGUCCCUGGCACUCGGCAAACAACUUGCGCUGCACCAGGGAAUUAGAGCCUUUGCCGAGUGCUUUGUCCCUAGCACUCGGCAAACAAGGGGUCUUUGCCGAGUGCCUUGUCCCUGGCACUCGGCAAACAACCUGUGCCGCACCUGGGAAAUGCACCUUUGCCGAGUGUUAAAGCCAAAACACUUGGCAAAGGACUCUCUUUGCCGAGUGUUACACUCGGCAAAGUGACCAGAACCCUCCCUUUUUCCCAUUUUCCCACGUAUAACGGACCCCUCUCAAUUCACAAUACACAUCAUCACAGGCAUUUGUAAUAAACAAUCACAUGCAUAAUUCACAACCACCAUUAGAAACAUUAUUCAUAAACAUCACAGGCAUAAUUCAACAUAAGCACAAAACAAUCCAUAAAUCCAAGUUCAAGUCACAAUUUAGUUCACAACCAAGUCUAGUUCUGUGGAGGCCAAGGAGACCACUGCGACAAAUCUUGAUCUUCAUUAUUCGAAGCCGCCGAUUGAUUCUGCACAUAGGAUAGGACAUUCUGAACUAACAUCUAAAGUUGUCAAAAUUAAAGUAUUGAAUCUUAAGCACAAUGUGUCAAGUGACUCACAGGAGUAGUCGUGGGUGGCUGAGGCGGAGGGAACAUCAUCGGCGGUGGUGGAGGCAAAGACUGUCCCAUGCUUGAAGCAAAAUUCUGCAUGUACUGGAACAUCUGCUCCAUCCUAAUCCGGUUUUCUUCCUCCAUCCUCCGCCGCAUGUCCUCCAUCUGCGCCACCAUCUCCUCUUGUUUCUUCCUUGCUUCUUCCACCUGGACCUACAAUAUUUCAUUGCAAUGUUAUAAUGCAAAGCUAAAGUAUAACAACAAACGAACGAUGAAUGGAAGAGAAAGAACCUGGAGAGCCUCCAUCUGGAACUGUGCAGUGGUGGGUCGUGGCCGUAUCGCCGGGCUCGAGUCCGUGCUCCUAGCUCGGAUCUGGGAGAGAGUGGGAGUAGAGGCCGUGUCGAUGACGCCGUCGCCAAUCCAAUAUCGGCUAUGCUUCUUGCCUCCUCCCACCCUCAUCACGAUUUCUCCAUCAAUGUCCUCGGAGCUCGGAUCGAAGUCUGGCCCAUGAAGCUCCCUAGCCAUCUUUGUAUACUCGUUGAAGCGGCUGUGUAUGCUAGGGUGGCUGUACGCCUCGGACGGGUCGUCUGGGUUGAAAUCGAUAUCGGCCGUCGCCUUGCCCUUUUUGGAGAGGACCCAUGCCUUGAGCUGGGAGCAAGGUCGGCCAUCAUGUGACGCCGACUGCGGCAAAAAAUACAAAAUGAUUAGGAAUUAUGUAGAACUGAACGUUACAAUAAACAAUUGAAGUUGCGUACCCAUUUUUCUCUAUAUUCAUCAAGGCUUAGGCUGCCUUGAUGGUGUGGUGCAGUCGGCAUCUGCAAACGCCGCUGCCGGCAAGCAAGGUGGUUCUCCAACCACCCGGGCUCCAACCACACGUCGACCAUCCUCUCCCAGCACGGCAUAUGCGCACGACACCACCACGGAGACCACCCCGUCUUGUCAAGCCAUUCAUUGGUCAACGUAUUCUGACUAGUGCGACCCGUGUACAUCCACUGACGAUCCUCCAUCCUCUACCAUUUAAGUGAGUAAUACAAAAUUCACAUUGCAUAUACACGUUCCUAUAUUGUCUACUAGGUAAAGAUAGGUCCUAAUCCCACCCGAGGAUGUGAGGUGGGUUUCGUAUCUAUGGUUUACUCCGACCCCGAGAAAAAAUUCUGGGCCACCUUCCCAGAUGUUCUCCAAAGUUAUAUCCCUUUAAUGAGUCUCUGAAAUUUGAGCAUCCCAGAGCUGCAAUGAGAAAAUACAAAAAAGAUUUGAGGUCAAUCUUGAAAACAAAAUNNNNNNNNNNNNNNNNNNNNNNNNNNNNNNNNNNNNNNNNNNNNNNNNNNNNNNNNNNNNNNNNNNNNNNNNNNNNNNNNNNNNNNNNNNNNNNNNNNNNNNNNNNNNNNNNNNNNNNNNNNNNNNNNNNNNNNNNNNNNNNNNNNNNNNNNNNNNNNNNNNNNNNNNNNNNNNNNNNNNNNNNNNNNNNNNNNNNNNNNNNNNNNNNNNNNNNNNNNNNNNNNNNNNNNNNNNNNNNNNNNNNNNNNNNNNNNNNNNNNNNNNNNNNNNNNNNNNNNNNNNNNNNNNNNNNNNNNNNNNNNNNNNNNNNNNNNNNNNNNNNNNNNNNNNNNNNNNNNNNNNNNNNNNNNNNNNNNNNNNNNNNNNNNNNNNNNNNNNNNNNNNNNNNNNNNNNNNNNNNNNNNNNNNNNNNNNNNNNNNNNNNNNNNNNNNNNNNNNNNNNNNNNNNNNNNNNNNNNNNNNNNNNNNNNNNNNNNNNNNNNNNNNNNNNNNNNNNNNNNNNNNNNNNNNNNNNNNNNNNNNNNNNNNNNNNNNNNNNNNNNNNNNNNNNNNNNNNNNNNNNNNNNNNNNNNNNNNNNNNNNNNNNNNNNNNNNNNNNNNNNNNNNNNNNNNNNNNNNNNNNNNNNNNNNNNNNNNNNNNNNNNNNNNNNNNNNCCCCCGGUGAGUCCUGGCGUACGACGAAUUAAAGCCGAGUGCUAGAUCAAGGGCACUCGGCAAAGGCUAUUUCCCCAUGAAUUUGUGACUCACACUGACACAUGGACCCUUGGCGGGCUUUGCCGAGUGCUCUGGGGUGACACUCGGCAAACAAAGUAAUUGCCGAGUGCCCUACUGCAACACUCGGCAAAAAGGUACCCAUAUUGCAUGUGCAAAAGCACUUUUAGUAAUUAAAAGUAUGUAAACUUUGUGUAAACCUAGUCAAAUUCACUAAACAUUGUGUAUUCCAUUUUUUAAGUAAUAUUGUUCCAUUAUUUCAUGGAUUUAUAGCUCAUAUUGAAUUUAUAUCUAUUAAAUUCAUAUACUUGCAAUUAAUAAAUAAAAAUUAUCAAACGGAUCCGAAAAAUCCCCAAAAUUUGACAUGAACCAAUCUAUGUUCUCUAUGGCCUAUAAAAAUAAAUUAGGACUCAAUGACAAAUUUAAGUAUCGAUUCGACUCAAAAUCUUACUGGAUCCUUCCAACUUCUACGAAUCCUCUCCGGAGAUGCUUCGAAUUCUAAGCAUCAUAUGUCAAAACUUGUGCGAAACCUUGUCAAUUUUUUACCACAGCCUCUGCAUAUGAAAUCAUAGCAUCUUGCAAAAUCUCGUGAUUUUCAAACUUCGUUUGUAUUUUUGAGAAUUACAAAAUCAUUUAGCCACACGUUCGUAGUCGUGUUUCCUUAACAAAAUGUUCGAAAUUUCUUUUCAUUUUUUGGGUAAGACCUCAAUUUGGACUCACUAACAUGAAUAUGAUUUUUCCACUCAUAUUAUUCCAUUAUUCCAAACACCUGCAGUUCAAAUUUGACUUAAAUCAACAAAUUACUCUAAAUGAAAUUAAUUGAUUAAAUAUAGCAAACAGGUCAAUAAGAAGUCCACCUUGUACCAUGCAGUGGCAAAUCUCAUACAUGUGGAGUAUAAAAAGUUUGGAGGGGGGAGGAGGGAAUUUUUUUUUGCCGAGUGUGCCAAAAAACACUCGGCAACCUCUCAGGUUUGCCGAGUGCCCCACCGAGACACUCGGCAAACUCGCAUCUUUGCCGAGUGCCCCAUCGAGACACUCGGCAAACGGGUCCUUCGCCGAGUGCCCACAAUAAUACACUCGGCGAAGAAAUUACACUCGGCGACUUUGAGGUUUCCCGUAGUGAUGCUAGGCAGAUGAGUGAGGAAAAGGCAUACAAUCCGAAAAUAUUAACUGAUCCAUCAAAAAAGAGAAAAUAUUAUUUGAUGCUACGCUGACAAGUGGGGCACAGGGCCAGAAUGAGAGCUUUACUAUCCUAUGCAACUGAGCUUUGCAAAGGCCACAGGUGGACCUUCAAAUGGACAUUCCAAUUUCAUGUCACUGUGUUUUUUCUACCGGAUUUAUCAAAAUCUUUUUUUUGAACGGACAGGCACGGGAUUGUGCCUAUUUCAUUGAUAGAGUAGGAGUAUACAGGAAAUAAAGAAAAAGAAGAGGCUGAAGGGACUACUCUCGUGCUGGAAGUAAUGCUAAAUCUUUGGUCCCCACCAAGAGCCAAGCUGAGGCCUCAUCCUUAAUUUUCGCCAUUGUUGAGGUCUCGUGUCUGUUGAAGAUGCGUGCAUUCCACUCUCUCCAAAUCUCCCGCAUGAUGAGAAGAGUGAGACUUCUUAGAGCCUUACGCGGUGAAUCUGGUGUUGUAGUUAUAGAAGUCCACCGUUCCAGAGCGUUGGAUAAGGGUCGCCAGGCAUUGGGCCUUAGGCUAGGCUGCGCUAGCCAUGUCGCCAUUAGAUCCCAUAUCCUCCUUGUGUACCUGCCCUCGGCCAAAAUAUGGUGACUAGUCUCCAUGGUACGUCUGCAAAGAGCGCAAGUGGCGUUGUGAGGUCAUCAGCGUUUGGCCAACCUGUCAGCUGACCAAACUCGGUUUUGUGGAAUUAGCCACGCGAAGAAUUUACACUUUGGUGGCGCCCACGUUUUCUAGAUGGAAGAGAUAUUCGGUGUUUCGGUGCAAUCCCUCCUGUGCUUUAUAUGUCGAAGCCAUUGUGUACAUGCCCGAUUUUGUCAGCUUCCAGGUGAUAGUAUCAGCUUCCCUGGCUGGAGUUCCAUACGUCUGACCAUAUCCCAUAGCUAGGUGAAUGACGCUAAAAGUGAAGUAUUGAUGUUGUUGUCGAUUUUAAGGUCACGAAUCUAGUUGUUAUUACUGAUGGCAUCAUGGACGGUCCUGUUCUUUCUUCGUGAAAUAUCGAAGAGGAGCGGGGCGAUGUCCUUUGGACGCUGGCCAUGUAGCCAGCCAGAUGUCCAGAAGCUGGCCUUUUUGCCGUCGCCCAGGGUGAUAGCCGUGCAUGCAGUAAAUAGUUGCCUGUCCGACUCAUCGCAUGGGGUUUCCGUGUUGUGCCAAGGCUUUUUUGGUGACGUCCAUUCAUGCCAAAGCCACCUGAGCUGGAGGGCUCGUGCGAAUUUCUCAACAUCUAGGAUGUCCAGUCCCCCAUAUUGUUUCAGUAGGCAGGUUUUCAUCCAGUUGACUUUGCAUUUACCCCCGGUUAGUUGUUGGUCUCCCGCCCAGAGGAAAUUUUUACGGAUUUUGUCUAAGUCUUGGAGUACCUCAUUGCUUGGCUUUAGAGUUGUAAGGAAAUAUACCGGCUGCGAAGAAAGGACCGACUUCGUGAGGGUUAUUCUACCUGCCUGUGUUAGAUUUCGUCCAGUCCAUGCUGACAGUUUACCUGCCACUUUAUCUAUGAGUGGUUGGAACUCAAUUUUCCUGAGGCACCUUGUUGAUAAGGGAAGACCAAGGUAGCGCAUGGGGAAGCUUGUUCUUGUCACCAGCAAAUCGUUGAGUAAGUGGUCAAGAUCGAUGGUAUGGCAGCUGAUGGGCGCAAUCUGUGUCUUGUGCAGGUUCGUGCGUAGUCCUGUGGCUUCCCCGAAUUGUUGCAAUAUGCUCGCCAAGUUGGAGAUGUCUUUGCGUGUGGGCUUAAUAAAAAUGGCAGCGCCGUCCGCGUACAGGGAUGUUGUAAAUCUUACCGCUCUUCCUCCUAGCUUGGUGAGUAGGCCCCUAUGAGUCGCGUGAGCAAUAAUGUGUUGUAGUGGGUCAAUGGCUAGAACAAAAAGAAGGGGUGAAAGUAGGUCACCCUGUCUGAGGCCUCUGCCAUGCUGGAUCGGUGGCAAAGGCGUGCCGUUAAGUAGCACUUUUGAAGUUGAGGUAGCAAGGAGGGCCAUGAUCCAUUGGUUUCAACGAGCAGGAAAGCUUUUGUGUUGCAGCAAGUCGAUGAGGUAGUCCCAUCGGACUGAAUCGAAUGCUUUAGAGAUGUCUAGCUUCAUGAAUAGAUAUGAUAUUUCAGCGUCAUAGUCAUUUUGUCCAAGUUAUAUUUGUAAAACUGUACAUAAACAAUCAAAGUGGGACAGUGACAGCUUUGUAAAGUAAUAAGCAAUCAUCCUCAAAACACAAAACUCUAAAACGAAAAGAAAAGAACUAUCUUUAUUUUGAAGCCCUGAACUACUUGGCACUUUAUUCCUAAGAACCAAAACUGGUGUCCCCAAAUCGCAAACAAGCACAUGCUAGCGACCAUACAGUUCCUUCACUCGUUUUUAAUCAUCUUCCGGAACCAGCGUGCAGAGUCCUUGGGGUACCUCGCGAACGUGGUUCGGUCCACGUAUACGAUUCCAAAUUUGGAGGUGAACCCAAGCCGCCACUCAAAGUUGUCCAGCAGUGACCAAGCAAAGUAUCCGAUGACAUUUGCGCCGUCGUGUAUCGCGCAUUGGAGCUCAUAAAGGUACUUCUCGAAGUAGUCUAUCCUGAACUUGUCGUACAAUGCACCGGGCAAAGAAUCAUUUCCGGAUUGAUCGAUUCCUGGACAUAUGAUCAUUGAAUUUUGCAUCAAGGUUCAUGCCUUUAAGAUUGUGUCACAAUGCUACUGUUCAAUUUAUGAUAACUGAAGAGCUGCUGGGUGAUUUACCGUUUUCGCCGAUGAGCAUGACAGGGUUGUUGAACUUCUCCUUAGUCCAAAGGAGAGCUUUGUAGAGCCCCCAUGGUACCACGUAAAGCCAGUCAGAGUAUCCCUGCAUAAGUAUUUGCAGAUCAGAAAUUUUUUUUGCCUAAGUUGUAAUCUUGUUCAUUAUCUGGGUCAAAUGUAGCGAUUGAUGAAAAAUAUUGUUACCUUUUUCCCAAUUGGCACACCGUUUCGCUCAUCUGAAUAGAUGAUCCAAGGUGUUAGCUAUGCGGAUAAAGAUUCAUCAAAUAAAAAGAUGGCUUUUGUAAGUUGUUAGCGCGCGUUGAAUAACCGUACAUGAAAGCUUGACAUGCCAGUCGUUCACAUAACUCGUGUGUGUCUCGUUGGCGAAGUUGCUGGCAUAAUAUGUGGUGUAGUGGUUGAUGGCGAUGUAAUCUGCCGAGCCUUUCACCAUUGCAGACUGCUCAAAGGUGAAGUUGGGCAGCCUUCCCAUCACAAUCUUCUCCAUCGUCUCCGGGUAAUGGCCGAAGGUGAUCGGGUGCAGGAACCUGAAACAAAAUUGAAUCGGAUGUGUGUUCAGUUCAGUCCAGCCACCGCUGCGCCCGUGGUACCAUUAGAUGCUGAUGUGUAAGGUUUAUCACCAGCCAAGGGUGAACAUCCUCGCCCGGUGCGCUGCGAAUUCGUCGUCCAUGGAGGGUGUGAGUGGCUCAUACCACACGAAGUCGAGCAGGAUGCCGAUCUUCCCAGUCUGCUGAGCCUGAAAUGUGCUUUCCGGCAUGAUGAGCAUGGUGCAAACUGGAAAGAAAGAUUGUUAACGUAGAAUGAGGAGAAUGGGGCAGUCACUAGCCUGGUACUUCUCACGGUACAACUUGACAGCAGAGGCAUGGGCCAGGAGAAGAUGAUGGGCGGCGAUGUACGGCUCGGUGGCGGAGUUUCCACCGAAGUGGCAGCCGGUGCAUCUGGCAGGGGGGAAGAAGCCGUCUCCGUAGCCGUGGGCGGCCAUCAUCCUGGGCUCGUUUAUGGUGAACCAGUUCUUCACCCGGUCACCAUACGUCUUAAAGCAAAAAUCUGCGAACUUCGUGAAAUCUUCCCUGCAAAAUGGUAGGCAUGAACACAAACCAGGUUAUGUUAUGACUUUUUGAAAACAGUAGUAUGGUUUUCUUGUAGUUUUGCUGCUAGAAAGAUGGUGUUGAUCGUGAACACUACUUACACAAUUCUGGGGCUUAGCCAGCCGUUAUACUGGUCUUGCAGCACCUGAGGAAGGUCGUAGUGGUAGAGCACAACAUAGGGAGUAAUAUCUGGUCCACAAAAAAAAGACAAGUCUCAUCAGUUAAAUGCAUCCAAAUCUGGCAUUCACAAGAAAGAAAUCUCCUUGGCAAGAACACAAAGAAAGGUCAAGAUCAUUGUCUUUACGGCUCUCGAUCAAGUAGUUGAUGAGCCUGUGGUAAUAAUCCACACCAUCCUUGUUGAUCCUCCCAAUUCCACCUGCAUUUUUUUCCCAAAAAAACAGAAAGACAUUGCAGGGAAAACCCUAUGAGUCACCACUGAUUGUAACUUUGUGAGUAUGUUUCAGCACGUACUUGGGAAAAUGCGUGACCAUGAGAUCGAGAAGCGGUACGCAUCGAAGCCAACCCGCACCAUAUUGUCCACAUCGUCCUGCAAGAAGAGACAACCGGGAGAGAAAAAAAGGAACUCAAAUGAAUCAGACAUAGACAUAGAUCAUUUAGAAACCGAAGCACCAAGAUCAGACAUUGGACGAACCAUGUAGCGAUUGUACUCGUCGACUGUCACAUUCGCAGUGGAGUUAUCAGGAGUAGUACCUGCCCAAGCACAUCCAGGAGUGGCCAUCAGCGACAGACGUCAGAUCAGGGGCGCCACAUGCAUCUUCAAGUAUGUAGUAAUGCACGAUCGUUUCAUCCAUCUCACCUGGGUACUUGAGGAAGGUGUCCCAGAUGCAGGGCCCCCUGCCGUACUUGAGCGUGUUCCCCUCCACCUGGUACGCCGACGACGCGGUCCCGAAGACGAACCCGGGCGGGAAGGCCUGCCUGGUGAGGUUGCCGUGGUCACCUGGCUUGCCGUGCGCGCCGAGCGCCAGGGAGAGGGCGAGGAGCCCAUGGAAGAGCAGGAGGGGCAAUGGCGCAGGGGUCGCCAUGUCGGAGGACAGUGGCAGGUGAGGGACUCGGAGGUGGCGGGGGGAGUCUGAUCUGCGUAGGCCGCUAUAUAUGGAGACCGGGGAGCGGAGGACGCGAUCCGGCAGCCGCAUGCAAGAGCAGAGCUGAAAUGGCGGCGCUGGGUUUGAACAAGAGACUGUUUCUUUCUUGCACGCGUAGGGGUAGCUCUCCCACGCACUCCUCGUCCCGGUGAUUGUGGAGACGUGCCUCUGUACUCGUCCUCAGCCACCAGUAUUUCUUACUCCUAUAUUUCUAUUUCUUUUCGGGGUUUUGGAAUGGGUGAUUAGUUAGGCUUUGAUGCUAUGAUGUUGCAUUUUCCUUCUUGAGCUCCGUGAUGUUUCUAGAGUGGGCGUGGCGUGCGCCGCAUGAGGAGAUCAUAAGUGCAUCACCAGAAUAUUUCUGGACUUGAGAUGUGGUCAUGGCCUACAGGAUCAAAUCUAUGUUGUAACUUAUUGUAUCUCACUAAUGUGGCUAUUUUUUUAUGCUGGAUGACGUGUCCAUUGAUAGUAAGACGUCUAUGUCAUUGAUAGUAAGAUGUCUAUGGUGACCAUCAAUCUCAGUUUGCAGGUUCAAUCUUAUCAUUAUGAUAGGGUGCACGUGCGUGGUUCUUAGACCAAACCUCCGAGAUUGAAAGAAACGAAAUCCAGGUCAUCAGUAAACAUAAUGAGAAAAUCUGAAUCAUCACUGUAUUAUUCAAUCUUUUCCUUUUAAAAAUAUAAUAAUAAUAAGCAUGUUUUCAUAUAUUUAUUGAGCUCGUAGACUCCCUUUGUCCUAAAACGCACUCACAUUUAAACUUCUUAAGCUUUGACCAACAAUUAGUCUAACAAAUAUGAAAAGGUUGUGUUAUGGAAUUGUGGUUACAUUACAUUUGUAAUUAGAAAUAUAGGAAUCUUACUGUUACUAAUUGGAGGAUCUUUUUGAAGCUUUCAGGUGAAGCCACCUAGGAUUCCUAGGUGAACACUCUAGAAAAAGAGGGAAAUCCUAAAAAUUCUUACAAAAAAGCAAAACAUCCGACCAUCAAUCGAUAUAUUCAAAUCAUCAUAGCCAUUGGAUCUAUUAUGUUUUCUAAAAAAUUACCCACCUAUGCUAUUAUGAAAAUAGCCUAAAGUAACCCCCUAAAUCUAUAUAUAAAUUACCCACCUCUGCCAUUAUAUAAAAUAAACUAAAGUAGCCCUCUAAUCUUUAUCCAAAUUACCUACUUAUGCCAUUAUAAAUAAUAUUUAAAAUAACCCUCUAAUUUGCAACUGAAUUGCCUACCCCUAUUACUUAAGUUUAAACUUAAAGUAACCCCUUAAAUUUGCAUCUAUAUUACCCACAUAUGCCAUUAUUAAAAAUAACAUGAGGUAACCCUACAUUUGAAUCAAAUAACCUUAAUUAAAAAUAUACAGCAAUAUAUGAUUCAAAAUCGUUUAUAUCUUUCACUAUUGGUAUAUGAUAUAACAAUUAAGGUCUAUACGCAUGAUUUGUGUCACCAUUUAUAGGGAUAUAAAAUAAUGAUAAUAUAGAUUUUUAUGCUAAAAUUGUAUCUCAAACUUAGGGUUCAUUAAAUAAAUUCAAGCGUAUACCUGUGAUGCAAAGUGAAAAGUUAAAGAUUAUAAAUGAGGUUGAAAAUAUUAUAGAGUAAUUACUAACUAAAAUCGAUCACAAUUGGAUGAAGAUAUUAAGUAUAUAUCUACAUAAAUAUUGUGUUCGAAUAUUUAACAAACGAGAGGUAGUUUAUGGUAAUAGUUUUGUAGCAGUGUAGUCUCAUUUUUUUUCCAUCGGAGACUCCACAAAAAAAGAGACAAAUUCUCAUAAAAAUUAAAAACAUCAAACACCAAUCCUGUAAACUCUAAUAAUCAUAGCCAUUGAUCUAUUAUAUUUUCUAAAAAGUUACCCACCACUGUCAUUAUGAAAAUAUUCAAAAAUAAGCUCUAAACCUAUAUCUAAAUUACCGAGCUCAACUAUUAUAAAAAAUAAUCUAAAGUAACCCCAUCAUCUUCAUCCAAUUUACUAAUACACAUAAUUAUAAAGCAUAACUUAAAAUGUCAUUCUAAAAUUUUAUCUAUGUUACCCAUGUGUGUCAUUAUUAAAAAUAACCUAAAGUAAACACCUAAAUAUUAAUCUAAUUAUCUUCAUGUGCAUCAUACAAAAAUAUCAAAAAGUAAACUAAUAUAUGAUUCUAAAUUACGUAUUUAUGUCAUUAUUAAUAUAAAAAUACUAAGUUAAAGUAUAUACACAUGAUGAGUGCCACCAUUUAGACUAUUUAUACAUGUAUGUGAGGAAUCCAUAAAAAAUAUUGGUUUGUAUGCUAAACAUAAUGUAUGGAGGAUUGGAGGUGUGAUACAAAAUGGAAAAAGUACGAAUAUGGAUGAAAACGUGCAUAGAGUAAUUAUUGAUUAAAAAUCAAUCACAACUAGACAAAGAUAGAUAUAUAUAUAUAUCUAUAUAAGUAUUAUGUUGAAGUAUUGAAAAAUAAGAGAGUGGUAGGUAAACAAUUUUGAUUAUUAGCUAGGAGUUUAAUUUUUAAAUAAUUUUUAAAUACAAUAUCAUCUAAAAACAUUAGCCCGUGCGGGAGCACGAGUUGAUGGACUAGUACUUUUUAAUGAUCAAACUUUUGUUGGCACAAACCGUAGACUCCAAGAGAAAUUAGCGGUCAAAGUGUGUUCUUGAAGACCAAGCCAAACCGUACACAGGUCGAGCUAGAAACUCAAUAUUUUCUUGUUAGGGAGGAAAUAAGCCACUGUUUCGUUUAUUUUCGCAUGUUUGACACGAAAUAGGAUUGUGAGAACGCGUGUAGUUCGUGGAAUAAAAUAAACGUGAGCGUGCCAGUGUACUAAGUACACGAAUAAAAAACAAGUAGGGAAACGAGUAUUUCAUUAAUUCUUUGAUCAACAAAAUUACAAGUUCCCUUCAUAUAGCGCGCGCCAUAGCCUCAUGUGAGGGACAUCUGAUUCAAGUAAUGCGGUCUUCUGAUUUCCGGGGCUUUAGAAAACUCCCAGUUAAUUACUCCCCACGAAUCAAAUCCGUGGGACACCUCCGAUUAAGCUGCGCGUGGUCGUCGUUUUCGUCUUCGCUUCACUUCUUCCAUGCAGAUGAAUGAUGGUGGUAGGUACAGGCGUAGGCAUGAUCCACGGCCUCGUCGGUCCGUGGUGCCGUUUAUAGCGCGGCCAUUGCUGAUGCCGCGGCCGCCUCGUCGUCCGGGCUCGUCGGACAGGGACGACGUGUAAAGUGUUGUUGGUUGAUGGUACAUGCAUGAGGAAGAGGAGCGUGGCGUCGGCGACGUCCUAUCGCAGCUUCGUGGUGUACGUAUACGUAUAAAUCAUGGGCCUGAACUUGUGGCCUAGUACUUUGAGGAUAAGCUUGAACGGGCAGCGCUUCUGUAGAAUAGCUAGGCGGCCUAGUAGCAGCUCCGGCAGACAGACCGCGGCAACAUGUACAGUGGGUGGCGAGAUGGUCGUGACGACAGCGGCGGCAGGCUCUUGAAGGCCAGCAUCACUUCUUCGCUACAGCUAUUUGAUCACUUAAACAACAGGAGAUGCAGUGCACACAUAUACGUGCGUGCAUGCAUGCAUGGCUCAUAUAUCACGUAGGUGGCCUAGUGGAUGAUAUCUUGAAGUAGUCUUCACCAACUCUCCGGCCGUCCGGCGGCGCGACGGACUCGACUAGGCUUCAGUGGACAAACGCGAGCAGCUUCAUGGACUCGUGGUCUCCAGAUGUGAUUGCUUCAGUGAGUGCCGCGGCCAGUGUCAGGAGCUAGUCGGUCUCCAUGAAUGACCACUCCUAAAUAAAUCGUCUCUAGUACUGGUCCAUAACCCCCUUGGUAUCGUUGUGCAACCGGUACUAGCAAUCCGAUACUAGAGGAGGUCCUUUACUACCGGUUGUAAUAACCCGUACUAAAUAGUAUUAAAAAAUAAAAAAACAAAAUCCUCUCGCCAGCUCCAGCCGCCGCCGCCACCGGUCCCACCCUCCGCCCGCCGCUUGCCCCUGCCUCCUGCCGCCAUCGGCCCCGCCCUCCGCCCGCCACUUGCCCUGUCAGCCCCGGCCUCCCUCCGCCUCCUCCUCCUCCUCCCCCUCCUCCGCCUCCACCCCGCCUCCGCCUCCUCCGCCCCCGCCGCCGGCCUCCGCGCCCGCUCCUACCCACCCGCCGCCACUCCGCCGGCUGCUCCCCGACGCCACCUCACCUCGCCCCGCCGCUGCUCCUCACCGCCGGUGAGGGGCGCGCGGAGGGGGGGGGGAGGGGGGCAGAGGGUGGCACUGCGCCGUGCUGCUGCGAGAGGACAUGAAGUGUGGGGAGGAGAGGGGAGAGGAGAAGACGGGAGAGAGAGAUAGAGAAUGGGCGAACGGGGGCAGCAGGAUAAGAAUUAUUGCUGAGAGAGAUGGAGAGAGGAGGGAGGUAACCCUUUAGUACCGAUUGGUAGGAAUAUUAAAUUUGACCGGUACUGAGAUCAUGGACGAGAAGUCAUUUUUCUAGAAAUGGACGUUGAGCUGGUCCUCGUAGUGUACGCCGGCCGCUUCACGUACAACGCCCGCGACGAGGGUGCCGAAGUCGACCUCGGGUGCACGUACGGUGGACUCUGGCAUAGGGAGGUCCACGUCUCCGGCGACGUCUAGGCAGAGCCGCUAGGCCGCGGCACCGACGUGCUCGCCUUGUCUAGCCGGGCAGUCAUGGAGCUUGGAAGGGAUGAGUGAGAGCACCGCAGCGCACGUCGGACUUCUCUACAUCAUCUCCGGCAUGCAAGCCACACGGACGGACCAACCUCGUCGAUGCCUAUGUUUCCCUGUCCAUGCAUGAAACUGAAAAGGGAGAAAAGGAUUAAUGUAUAUAACCACCUGUGCCGGCCAUGGCCAUCUCCUCCACCCGGCAACGACUUCCUGCACUACCGAAACAGUAAGUUUGCCGAGUGCCCGAAGUACUCGGCGAAGACCUAAAAACACUCGGCAAACAGUUUGCCGAGUGUAACACUCGGCGAACAGGACUCGGCGAAGUUUCCCGAGUGUCGAACGUCGGGCACUCGGCAAAGGCUUUGCCGAGUGGCAAAAAAACACUGGGCAAUGAUUUUUUUGAAAAAAUAAAAAAACAAGCUAGCGCCACCGCCGGCCGCCGCCACCCUUGCCUCCCGUCGCCAAGCCACGAACCCCGCUGCCACCAGGCCAUCACUCUUGCCUCCCGCCGCCACGCCACGAAGCCUGCCGCCAUCCACCAACAGCGUCGCCGCCGCGCCACCAGCCCCCGACGCUACUGGAAGCCCACCGUCGACACCACUCGGAGCCGCCGCCGACAUCUCCCGAAGCUCCUGGAUGGCUCCGUGGCCCGUGCCGCUCCUAGCCCGCGUCGCCCCUGGCCCGCCCCAGAUUCGAAGGGGAGAGAGCUGGGGGCCGCUGGAUCCACGCCGGAGGGGAAGAAGGGGGCACGGAUCCGGCCGGAGGGGAGGGAGCCGGGGAAGGAGAGGGAGGGCGGCGGCGGGGGCUGGCGCCGGACGCCGGGAGGCUACGGGGGCCAGCGCCGGGCGGCGGCGGGGGCCGGCGCCGGGCGGUAGUGACAGGGAGAGAGGGAGGUGGGGGGCGGGUCGGGGUGGCAGAGCAAUGAAGAGGGGCCGGAUGCGGUGCUGGUCGGACUAUAAGUCCUGAGCGGUUGGGAAAAAAAAUCACCGAGUGUCCUAGGUGUGACACUCGGUGAAAGGUUUCUUUGCCGAGUGUCUAACCUAGGACACUCGGCAAAGCUAUUUUAAAUUUUUUUAAAAAAUUAUCCAACAGUUUCAAAAAAUUAUCAAAAAUUCACAUGAAAUAAUAUAUAUUCUUUACUGACUAUACAAAAAGUUUUAUAGUCAAAUCAAAACUCGACCGUAAUUUUGACUCGAAAUCUUAUCCAAUCCUUCUCAACGUUACUAUUCUUUUUCUGAAAUGCUUCGGUUUGUAAACAUCGUACGUGACGAAAUGUGCAAAAUAUUCUCAAUUUUUUUCCACAGCCUCCACGUAUGAUAUCAUCACAUCAUGACAAAUCUCAUGAUUUUCAGACUUUGCUUGUUUUUUUUACAAUUUAAAAAUACUACUGCCACACGUUCGUGGUCGUGUUUCCUGAACAAGAUGUUUGAAAUUUCUUUUCAUUUCACGGGUCAGGUCUCAAAUUGGGCCAAAUAACAUGAAUAUCAUUUUUCUACUCAUUUUAUUCUAUAAUUUGAAUCACUUGCGGUUCAAAUUUGACUUAUACCAAAAAUUUUCUUGAAAUGCAAUUAAUUAAAUAAAUAAAUAUAGCAAACAAAUUCAAAAAUAUACCAAAUUUUAACAUGGAGUACCACAUGUUGUAUGUGGGGAGUAGAAAAAUUUCAAGGUGGAAAGAGGAAAAAAAUUUAUUGUCUUGCCGAGUGUCAAAAAAACACUUGGCAAACCCCACUCUUUGCCGAGUGUUUUUUUUGACACUCGGCAAAGUCCAACGUUUGCAGAGUGUUUUUUUUUUGCCGAGUGUUCUUAGCCCGACACUCGGCAAAGAGCUUGUUUGCCGAGUGUCCGAAAAGAAACACUCGACAAAAAUAAAACACUCGGCAAAUUUAAGGUUUCCGAUAGUGCUGCCCACCUGGCGUCCCUCCUGCCCGUGGACGCGCACCAGCGUGAGGGGUCUUCUCUUCUUUCUUGGUUGCUUGUGUGUAUCUGGAUGAGCGAGAGAGAGAGAGAGAGGGAGAGGGAGAGAGUUUGUGAGGUGUGUGUGCGCAGCGAGAGGGCGAGAGCUGCCUCUUCUUGCCUGCGUCUGUCUGUGUCUCGUGUGUCCGCGUCUUGUCUCUUCCGUCAAGUGAAUGGAUCCCUCCUUUUAUAGGCCAGGGGAAGGCGUUUGGUAGCUAGGCAGGGACGCUGAGCGCGUACGUCUCGCGCCCAGGCGCCAACUAUCUUUUCUUGUAUACACGCACGUCCAGCACCGUCAGGCUAAUUGCCUGUUGCCUUGUGUGCUUCAUUUCUUUCUUUCUUUCUUUGCAUUUUUCUUAUAAUCUCUUUCCUGGACCAGAGAUCGAUCGUGAAUGAAACCUUCCAUUUACUCGUCGGACAGUCAUAUUUUGUUUCCAUCGACAGAGAGACCUAACCCUUGGUGAUUACGAUUAGAAAACCUUCCAUUUGACAAGAGGCGGCAUCGGUUAUUUAGGAAAGUUGAAGACGGUUCCGGGCGUGACCCCCUGCCGAGCGGGCCUUCGCGUUCAUCGUGAGGCCCAUCAAAGAAAAGGUACCAUAGCAAUAUCAGGUAGAAAGGAUACGUGUGUCCGUGUCCUCCACGUACACAGUACACUUAUACGUACAUGUAUGUGAUUAACCAUGCAACGUCACCUCUUUGAUUGUCCGGUGGAUCACUGUGUUUUGGCUUCAGCCAGUAAUAAAGAGACGAUGUCUCACACGUAUACACUGGCCGUGGAUACGUACUCCUGUUAGUCACGUGUGUGCCUGCUAGCAACCACCUUAUCUUAGCAAUUUAAAACACCAGGGUCUGGAUGCGUACAAAUUGCAUGGACACAGCCUGCUUGCACGUGGAUACGUAUCACUUUGCAUGCUAGUCCCUUUGUUACCGUGCUAACCAUUGUACAUACUGGUGACGUAAAAAACCCGUCAAACAGGACAAUAGUGCAAAUUUUCAAACUUUACCUGAAUAUGAAUUUUUUUUGGAAAAUUUGCUGACAUAGGGGGCCGGGCCACUGUCCGCCCCACUUAUAUUUUGGAAUGGAGAAAAUAUUAUUUAGGGGGGUUUGGGAACACCCUAUUAAAGUUUAACACCUAUCAUAUCGGAUGUUUAGAUGUUAAUUAGGAGUAUUAAACAUAGGCUAAUUACAAAAAUAAUUGCACAAAUGGAGUAUAAUUCGCGAGACGGAUCUAUUAAGCAAAAUUAGUCCAUGAUUUGAUAAUGUGGUGCUACAGUAACCAUUUGCUAAUGAUGGAUUAAUUAGGCUUAAUAGAUUUAUCUCGCGAAUUAGCACAGGGUUCUGCAAUUAGUUUUAUAAUUAGCUCAUGUUUAGUCCUCCUAAUUAGCAUCCGAACAUCCGAUGUGACACUGUUAAAGUUUAGUAUCUUGUAUCCAAAUACCCCCUAAUAUGCUGAUCAAUAUCAUGAACAUAAGUAUUUGUAUGAAAAUUGAGUUACGGAAAAAAGGACAGGGAGUUAAAGGACAUGUGAGUGUGGGAUGAUCCUAGAAAUGAUAGGUGUGGGUGAAGGGUGAUAGGGUAUAUAACGUUUGCAGCUGUGAAAGUUAUUGAUAUCGUAUCUUACCGCGGUAAACAAAAGAACCUUCAUCUUGGAACAAUUGUAACAAACGGAACAUUAUUGUAGCACUAGUUAAUAUACCUUUUUGCACUAAUCAUUUCUUUUUGUGAAAUUCCAUUGCUCUUUGACCUAACAUCAAUCAAACGUGUAAGAAAAUCAAAUGGCCUUGUUUUCUGUCCUACAUCACACAAUAGAUACUAGCUUAGAUGGUACAGUGUGUAGUUAGUUGUAUAGUUGGAUAUGCAAGUGACGGUGAGCAACCUGUGCUUUUAGCUUUCCCCGGUACUAACUGUGACAUUCUAGGCCAACUAAGGAUGAAUUGAAUCCACUAGAGGUUCAUGUGAAUGGCAUGGCAUGUGUGUAGAUAAUAGUCCCACCUUACUAGUUGAGGGUGGGUUUCAACAACAAGUGCCAAAUGUAUUCCAACCCCCGGGUUAACCAUUUUACGCGAAGUGAGGACGAAAGCGUAAGCGCGGUUAAUGCAAGUGCGUGUUUUACUCUACGUGCGAGUAGGACUAAGCCAUAUUUGGGACUGUGGCGUUACAAUUGGUAUCAGAGCUAACCCUCACGGUUACACAGGCGUGUGCGUGCUAGGGGCGCGAACAUAUGGCACAUGGCGUGUGUGGGUCCUGUGUGGUCACACGGCAUGGCAUAUUGUGACGGAUCCACCUCGAAUUAGCCUGAUUAAGGCACGGUCAAGUCGCCUAACAUGCGACACUCAUGCCUUAGUCAAGCUAACACGAAGUGCCGUCGGAUUUCAUCCGAUUUGACCACUUAACAGGACCAAAUUAGCAAACUCACCCGAAGGUGAGCGGUUGCAGAGAAUACAACAGGUCCACCAAAAGAUUAACAAGUUGAUACACACUUGGUUGCAAAUCAGAGUUUAACAAGUUCUGAAGAAAACAACAGAAGGUAAAACAAGCGGAAGCUAAAUGUAGGGGUCGGACGUCCUUGGUGAGGCCAACCAAGACAUCAGUGAUCCCCUUCCUCGCCAUCCGAGGAGGGAUCCCACUCGACCGUCCAACCCGGAGGGAGCUGGGGCGGCCAAGUGCCAACAGGAACAAGCUCAGGAGCGGCGACUUCACCUGAAAAGAAAGCCACAAACAAGGUUGAGCUGCUAAGCUCAACAAGACUUAACCGACCGGCGGUAAACUACUCCACCACUUCUAGAUAUGCAAGGCCCUUUGGCUGAGGGGCUUUGUUUGCCAAAAAUGACUACAGUGGGUCCUUGCUUUCAAGUUUUAGCUCAAGUUCUAAGUUCAUUAAUCAGUCUAUGUUGGCAACUUACUCUAAACAACCAUAGUUUUCCAACAACAAAGUAUAGAACAAGCAUCGGGUUCAUAGCAUCAUCAUGUUCCAUCUCUUUACUCAGUGUAGUAUAGCGAUCAAGCAGUCUCAAACUGAGAGAGGCAGACGAAUCGAUUCGAGUUUCUUAACCAUGCAUGGCGAACCUAAUCUCACGACAUCUGCGCACCACAAAGGUCGCUUCCUGUGUCGACCGUCCCCAUCAAUUCCCAGGCACAUGUCAGGUCCAAAUUUCCCUUGGCAUGCAAUGCUCCACAGUCCCGGUCUCUACCGUACUGUGACCGCACUUGCACCCACAUGAUGCACCAUGGGAACCUCGUUCCAGGGACAGCAGGGGUAUAAGCCACGCCCUAGUUCAAUCAGGUACUAGGCUUCCCCAUCCCAUACUAGGUAUGAGAUUAGUACUUUCAAACACUUGAUCACGAACAUCAACACUUUUCGACCUUAGCAACUUCAUAUAGACAGAUAGGGCAAUCCACCGACCACCAAAAGAGUUCACCAGACCCUGCCCCGUCCAUCGUCCUUAUAGUUGAAACCAGAAGGAGAACAACGAACUCCUACAACUCGCGAGUGAUAGGAAAUCACUCGACUUUUACCGAGUCCUAUUAAGCAAUGCAACUACUCGGAUUUCUCAGACUAGUGUUCAGAUCAAGGGAACUAAGUCAUGCAUCUAUGGUUUCAAACAACUCCUGUACUUAAAUGCACAUACAAACAAGGAAGGCAUGUGUAAGUUUAGAGACAAAAAGGUUUCAUGCUCCGGGGCUUGCCUUCAAGCGGAGGGGAGGAGAACUGGUCUUCAGAGGGCAAAGCUACAGCUCCUGCGGUCGGCGGCUCAGCUACUGCUCCGUCUUCUGGCACCGGAUGCAGCUCGUAGAUGCCGUCGGCGAGAUUCAACUCUACACGAAUGCAAAUGCAGGAGUUAGCACUUAGACGGUUAUUUCAACAGCAACACUUGCAAGUUUUAGCCCAGAAACUUGUAGCAAAGCUACGGAAAAAGUGGAGAAGUUCACUUGAGUUGGUGGAGAGCAAGGUAAAAGGGUCGGAUGGGAAGAAACUUAUGAUCUGACCCUUAGACUAAAGAAUAGCUGUGCUGGGGGUCCUCAGACUUAACGCAGAGAAGUCCCCGAUUUUUACACAUAUACCCUCGGGUCAAGGAAAAAGAUACAGCCGAGUCCUCGGGCGAGGUGGAAAAGGGUCGACGAAACAGACAGGGUUGGGCGAGACGGAAAAGGGGUCAGACAAACAGAGGGGGUCGGGCGAGACGGAAAAGGGGUCGGACGAACCGAGAGGGUCGGGCGAGACGGAAAAGGGGUCGGACGAACAGAGGGGGUCGGGCGAGACAGAAAAGGGGUCGGCAGCUUACCUUCGGUUUACAGGUGAAGCUUUGGGAUCAGGAAGGCGCGAACUUGGGCAGCGGCGAUGUCCGGCGGUACUCCGGCGGCGGCGGUGCUUCUUAUGGACAACAAGCAAGCUCUAGCACAGCGCGGAGGAGUAAGCGGCUAGGUGGAUUGGGAAAGGCGGGUGUUGAUCGGAGAGGAGCGUUCCUCAGGAACUUAGGUGGCAAUGCUCGAGCACGAAACAAAGGAACAAGGUGGUAAGGCAGUGAUGGCGAAGGGAACUCUGGUAGGGCUCGGGCGUUCCCUUUUAUAGCUGCGCGGGAAGAGAGAGAGCUGGAGCAACACGAAGACCAGGAAGGAACAUAAUGGAGUGCGCUGCCAUGGCGGCGAUUGAGCAGCGUUGGGCGGUGGAACAGGACUUCGGAGAUGAUGCCUUCGGCCAUUGGGCAUUGGAGUCAGGGUGGCGCAGGCGCGGUUUUGCCGGUGGUUGCGGUUUGGCGGAGGCGGGCAUCGUCGUGCGGCGGAUCUGAUGGGUGUGACAGGGGAAACGGUGCUAUAAGCGAGGUUGCAACCGGUGAAAAGACAGGCGGGCGGCGGCUGCGCGGGCGAGCACGAAACAGCGGUCUGUCGUGGCACAGUUCUGACAAGGCGAAAAAAGGAGCUGUCGCGGCCGGGGUCGGUAUUGGCGAUGGAGGAAUCGUCGCGUAGCGCAGUCCGGGGUGGCGCGACUGUGGAGAGGCGGCGGAAAAACCGGAAGGCAUCGGGCCUUGUAGCUGGGGGUCCGGCGCGGUGAUGAUGGGCGUGAGCCGCAAGGGCGCGAGCGAGACGGGGCGCUGCAGAAAGGUUGCAGAGGGGCUUCCGCUGCGAUUGGGGAGGAAGGCGCGGGAAUCCAUCCGGUCGUGGCCGGCGACUGGGCGGAGCGGCGGAGGUCGGAGGAGUUGAGCCACACGGCGGAGAAGCUCUGAAGCGGGUAUGCCACUCGAGUGCGUCUGCACCAGAAGAUCGGGGAAAAGAUUUGCGGAUUGAAAGGAGACACUGUGGGUGUGACUUUGAAGGAUCUGGCGGGGUGGGUUGGGGGGUCUUCAGGGGUCGGAGCUGGGAACCGGCGGAAAGGGGUUGGGUUCUCAGGGGUCGGGACCGGAACUGGAGGUUGAGCACUUAAGCUCGGGGAAGCUGAGUCAGCGGAUUAGGGACUCGGAUUAGAUUAACUCGAAAGAUUUGGGAUCGGUCGUCACACAUAUGUGCCGGCACUAGAUGCAUGGACGUGUGCUAAGAGGUAAAGUUCCUGGUCAAUUUCCCCAGUGUGUGCGGGUAUGUUGCUGACGAGGACGUCGGGUCCUUUAGGCCAACUAAGGAUGAAUUGAGCCCAUUAGAGGCCCAUGUGAGAUGCAUAGCAUGUGUGUGGAUAAUAGUCCCCCUUGCUAGUUGAGGGUGGGUUUCACCAACAUAUAAACCCAAGUGCCAAAUACAUUCCAAUCCCCGAGUUAACCCUUUUACGCGAAGCGAGGAUAAAAGUGUAAGCGGGGUUGAUGCACAUGCGUGUUUUACUCUGCGUGCGAGUAGGAGUGAGCCAUAUUUGGGACUAGGGCGUUAUAAUUUGAUUGUCAUGACCCAAAGUUGCAAAACAAGUUUAACAUGUUAACAUGAGCAUCAUUUGUGCAUAAUUAAGCAUCAUGGCCAUGCAUUUGUUUAAGUUCAAAUAAUAAUUGUUUAUUGUUGAAAUUUAAACUUGUGAAGCAACUCAAGUUUAUGCUGUGCAACUGUGCAUCUUGUUAUUUUAUUUAAAUACUAGAUGCAAUUUGAUGAUUUUACAAUAUUUUUACUUAAUUUUUCAGUGAUGUUUUCCCAUGUUAAAAAUUUGUUUAAUUUUCAAUUUUGGCUAUUUUCUUUUGUCAAUUGUAUGACAACUUGAGUAGUUUUUGAGGUGAUUCUUAUGGAAUUGUGUUCUUUUCAAUUUUAUCUUUCAAAUGAGUAUUUUUGGAGAUUUUUGGGGUGCCUGUAGCUGGGUCGUUUGAGUGGGGAAUGUUAAACGGUUUGAAAAUCGGUCGGGCCCACGUGUCACCGCCUCCUUCCUCUUCUCCCGUGCCUGCACACCUGCCCGUUGGCCAGCGCCGGUGGUGCCUACCGCACUGCCAUGGCCGGACUGGCCACCGUGGCCAAGGCCACGUGAAAUCCCAGCCGUACCCUCGCCCUGCUCCUCCUUUAUAUGCCGGCGUCGGCGCUUCCCCAAAACCUACCCCCCUCCUCCACCAUUGCCACCGCCACUUCUCUGACCCGAGCUCGACUGUUGGCCAAGAAAAUUCUAGUGCCCCCUCCACCUCCACCCAAGAGCCGUGACCCACUUCAUGCUCGUCAUCCUCGGCCGGUCAUCCCUCCAGUUCCGGCCACUAGUCGCCGGGGAUUUGAAAUCCCGCAACCGCCCGAGCUCCAACUCCACCGCAACCACCUCACCGUCACCGGUCCGAUUCACAGCCGUGGGUAGGUAUCCGACCGAUUCCUCAUGGCCAAGGCUUCGUCAAGACAUCCCGCAUCCAUUUUGCCGCUCAUCGGCCGCUCUCCCUCGCCGUGCAGUGCUCCCGGUGUCGCUCCCCAUCAGCGCCCGUCCACCCCUAUCCGCCGCCUGCCGCCGCCUCUAGAGCCUACUGUGCCACCUCCUGCUCGCCGCUGGGCUGCCGCCAGUAAACACCGCUACAAGAGGGAAAAGCAGCCUAUGCUGCCCGUGCCUGUCUGUGUGUGCGCGUGAGGAUGUGUUGUGGGAAGAAGAAAGAAGGAGAGGGGGGUAUGGAGAAGUUUCAGGGACUUAUGUGCGAGAAUCAAUAGAUCCGAGGGUUUGAUUUGCAAGAUGACAUCACUUUUGUUUUGUUUCCUCGAUUUAAAUAGCUGCAAACUUGAAACAUGCAUAGAAAUAUGCAGAAAAAUGGUAAAACUAUGGAACUUGUUUUGUUGAGUUCCUGAUGAUAUCUAGUUCAUUUCAAAAAUGAUUAUGUGCAUGUUCCUGUUGUGUACCUGGUGCUAUGAUUUAAUUUGUCUAAAGAGUUGUUAAAUGCUUUGUACAUCAUGUGGUGGUCCAAAAAUUGUGAAACAAAUUUUUUUAGCUUCCAUUUAUCAUGUAUGUUCCAGAUCUGCAACUUGUAUUAGUGGAAUCUAUGGUUUUCAUGCUGUUUUAAAUCUAAUGCUUGUUUGCUUUCUUAAUAUUGUUAUUUGCGUGAUAAUUUGUGAAAAAUUGAUAAAGUGUUGAAACCACUUUUGUCAGCCUUUUAUUUCCACAUAGAAUGCAGGAAAAGUGAUGCUGAUGCUUUUCUGGUUGUUUUACAAGCCUUCUAGGAUUUAAUGUGCUUAAUGGUAAUUUGUCUUGUUUAUUUUAUAUCUCCACAUUAAAAUUUGAUUUUGAUGUGAAUCGAAUUCUCAUGAUUUUGUAUUGUUGUCUUCUGUCAGUGCAAUUUAUUUCAUAAUUAUUUCUCAACAAAUGAUCCUAAUCUUGCAAUUUCAUGCUUGCUUUUGGCUUAUCGUGCAAAAUAGUUUCUCUCAUCGUUCUUGUAUGAUUUUGUAUUAUUUGUAGCUAGAUUGUUCUGUUAACAAUUUAUUUCUUACUAUUUCUUUUAUUUUUUCAUGUAUUUCAUGAGCAUUUGCACUCAUAGCAUCAUCUCUAUUGCAUGCAUGCAUUUCAUUCUUUUUAGAGAGCGAUUUGCUGGAGAACGUGACCUUUGAGCCCGAAGCCGAGGCCGAAGUAGAGGUUGAGGUUGAGCCCGAGGAAAAUCAAGGCAAGCAGCUAAGCAUAUUUGUCUCCUUCUUUUUGAAAUGAAAUUGUUACUAUGUAUCGCUAUGGGUUGCAUGUGGGUUAUCUUAUUGCAUUAUUAGAACCUAUAUCUUUAUUAUUAUGGUCUCCCUUGCUUGUUAUCAUAUCCCUUGUCGCUCGAGUAGUAUGGGUUAUAAUAAAUUAAUCUUGUAAUUUUUUAGCCAUGCUUAGUCAUAGAAGGAUCACUUGGUAAGGGAAUGGUUAUAGGUUUAUCAACUCUGAUUCUAAUAUGGUUCUUUAAUGUUGUUGAAUAAAUGAACAUGAUGGUUAAUUGGAUACGAGAUUUGAGCGGUGUGUAGAGUCACGAGAAUGGAGUCUCGGUGACAUAUACCGCUUGAGUCGAUUAAGGACCGUCCGUUGUUGAUGUUGGUUUGAGCACCCUUUUUCAUGCUACCACAUGUUCCCGAAUGGACGAAUAAGCCUAAUAUCUUACUUGACUCGCUCUAAUAUGCACGAUCCUAGAUGUGUGGUCCUUGGACUAUGUAGAGGAGCCUAGUAGUAUCCCCGGUGGACCUAGGUCGUCCUCCACACAAGUUAGGCGUGUUUUACUCAUACUUUGGGGUGGUUUGGAAAGGGUUGGCAUGAGUACCCCCUUGUGCACCAUUGAUCGGGUGUGCGAGCCGCAAGGUCCUCGAGUCGUGUGGGUAAAGAGUACAUCCUUGCAAGGUUAAAUCAAUUGGAAUUGCCACGCUCUCGGUUAUGAGCAAGCUCAAGUCCCAUGAAUUCAUCAUAGAGUCAUCGGAUGCUUUUAAUAUUUGUUCAUAUAUUUAUACUCUAUGUUACCAUGUUGAUGUAAUUGUUUUCAACUAAAUUUUAAAGUGGGUUUGGGAAAGAUUAAUAAAACUUGCUAGCUGUCCAUAGGGUGUUAUUCACAUGCUUAAGGUCAAAAAUUAAGGAUAGGAUAAGUUAGACUUUUGUCCAUAGGGUGUUAUUCACAUGCUUAAGGUCAAAAAUUAAGGAUAGGAUAAGUUAGGCUUUUAUCCAUAGGGUGUUAUUCACGUGCUUAAGGUCAAAAAUUAAGGAUAGGAUAAGUUAGGCUUUUGCAAAUUUACUUAACAUUAAAGCCUUACUUCUUGUUCACCCUUAUGCAUGAUCCUUGUUAUAUAUUUGCGUAAGACUUGCGAGUAUCUUUUUGUACCCAUGUUGCUAUCGUUCACUGAAGUUGCAGGUGAACCGAAGGCCGUGUUUGGUCACUUUUAACCUGCCGAUCCGAAGGUGGGUGAUGAGUGACUAGAACGGUCGUUUGUUGCUUCGAUGGUGUUCUUGGGCAACUACACCAUCAUGUCUUUUGCGUUUAUCUAUCGUAUCCGCUGCGUAGAUGUGCUCUUUUCAUGGGUUUGAUGUUGGAAAAACUUAAACCUUAAUGUUUAAUCUCAUGUUGUUGUUGUCGUGAGUCCAAGACUUGUAAUUUGGAGCUCAUUUAAUUAAAUUUCAGAUUUUAAUUGUUGAACUUGUGUAAGGUUUAAAAUUGUUCUUUUAUGGUUCAUGUGGUGUUGUGCAAUUUGUACGGUUGGUGUUGCUCGAUCUUGGGCAUGUUGUGAAACACCUACCGGGACUACCGGAUUUGUCUCUUGUUAUGUUGAAUUACACCGAGUCUUGGAUCUCUAGGUGUGGGUUGCCACUUGACACAUCGCAAGACGAGUAAGUGUGGGCUCUUAUCCUAUUCGCAUGACCGCCAAUUCACUUAAUUCGAGAUCAAAUUGGCCGGUUCUCACACUAACCCUAAAAGUUGAAUCUACCUGGGACAUGAAUUGAAUUCUAGAAACAAAUAAAUAUUCCUGGAAUGUAUCUGACGUAGAAACAUAUACAAUGAGAAACAUCUUGAAAAUUCCAACUCCAUAAAGUCUUGUUCGGAUACUAGUGGAUUGAAGUAUAAUGGGAAGGAUUGGAGAGGAAAUUAGUUCAUUUUAGACGACUCAGUCCCCUUUAUUCCCUUCCAAUCCUUUUCUAUCCAAUAAUGUGGAAGAAUAGGUGUAUUGAAGUCUAGAGGUAAAAGCCUCUCCCCUGUUUGAAAAUACUCAUCCCUGGUAUGCGACAAACAUGGGCCACAUAAUCACCGCUUCAACAAUUUAUAGCUUAUACCAUGUAGUAAUAAUUACAUAAUGCACGUAGUUGUGACAGCGACAUAGUACCCCCGAAUAUUUGCUUAGAUCUGCAGCAUUGAUAAUAUUCGAAAAGUCACAUAUCAAUAUAGUCAACUCAAGUGUGCCACGUUUGAAAUCGUCAAUUGCAUCACAUGGGCAACAGGGGGAAAUGAAACUACUAUACUUUUCUGAAGUCAUGUCAUCCUCAUAGAGUCUUGGACAUAACAGGAAACAACAACCAAUAAGCUCCGCAACUUCGAACCAUCAUUUUUUGGUUUGUUUUUUCAGAACUAUUUGUGUGCGUGAUGUGGAUGCAGCUUUUUAAUAAGGAUCCCUUAGGUGGAGUUUCACCCGGCUCCAGCUCCACCACUGUAGCGCGUGCUAUUGUAGCGUCAGUGAAGCCGGAGCCAGUGAAGCCAAAAAAUUGUGACUUCAGCUAUUUCUUAGUUUGUUUUAGUAAGAGAGAGAAGAAGGGCUCCGAUGAAAAAUAGCGUUAUAGUAUCGCAAAUAGUGCUUAAGUUAGAGAAGCCGGAGCACCCCAGAGCUCCACCAAAAGAACCUCUUAAGUAUUUGUUGAAAGCAUUUCAUAUUGUAGCGGUUGGGAUUUUAUUUAUUACAUCAUCCAAAAAAGUAAGCUCUGCAACCUGUAGACCGUUUAUGAUGCUCAAUUGCGACCACGAAGGAAGGUCAGUGUUAGAGUUUGUAUUAGGUACAUCCAAAUAUAUCUAGUUUAGGAUUAAUCCCGUGAUAAUCUAUUAUCAUUAGGAGAUAUUACUCGACCUCUAAGACAGGAAUUUUAUAUUAAAACCCCACUACCGGAAACACGACGUUUGCCGAGUGCCCCAGGCACUCGACGAAGGCCCAAAAACACUCGGCAAAGAGUUUGCCGAGUGCAACACUCGGCGAACCGGACUCGGCGAACUUUCCCUUGGCAAACAGUGGAUUUGCCGAGUGUCAAACGUCGGGCACUCGGCAAACGCUUUGCCGAGUGCCAAAAAACACUCGGCAAAACCAAACACUCAGCAAAAAGGCGUUGACGGACUGUCACGGUAACGGCGCCUUUGCCGAGUGCCAGACGGAAGAACACUCGGCAAAUGUUGACGUUUUGCCGAGUGCCUCCGUCCCGACACUCGGCGAAGAGUCUAAAUUUUGCCGAGUGCCGUCUCACAGACACUCGGCGAAGAUUCAAAUUUUACUGAGUGUCGUGCCCAUGACACUUGGCGAACUUUUGGUGUUUGCUGAGUGUCAGUUUCGUGGCACUCGGUGAACUUUUGGUGUUUGCCGAGUGUUGGUUUCGUGGCACUCGGCAAAGAGGAUGCUUCCGCCAGAUUUUUAUGAUGCCUUUACCAAGUGUUGUGUCGAAACACUCGACAAAGUAGUCUCAGAAUAACAAAAACUGGCCCGUAAAACACUCGGCAAAAUGUCCUUCCACCGCUUGUAAAACAGAUUCGUUACGUAUAAAGGACCUCUCAAAAAACAAUCACAGAAGCAUCACAUGCAUAUAAAUUGCAUCACAGGCGUAUAGAUUGCAUCACAAGCAUCAUAAGAACACAAAAUAAUAUUCAGAAGUACAUAUAGGUUCUAGUCUAAACAAGUAAUUCACAAGUUUGCUUAACACAAUAGUCAUUCAAACAAGUCACUGAGGAGGAUGUGUAGGUGGCCACUGCCCCCAAGAUGAUUCUGCAUUGGAUGCCGCCGAUUGAUUCUGCACAAAGUUAAAGAGAUUGCAUUAGUCACUUUUCUAGUGUAAGUUUCUAGUGCCUGUAGUUUCUAGUUUAAUUCUACAUUGAUUGUAAGGUUGAGAGUGACUCACAGGAGUAGCUGCAGGAGGUGGAGGUGGCGGGAAUAGGUUCGGUGGCAUAGGUGGUGGAGAUUGACCUAAACUCUGAAAAAUACUCUGCAUGUAAUGGAACAUCGACUCCGUCCUUUGCCUUUCUAUCUGUCGAUCCGCCUCGAUCCUCGCCUCUAAGUCCUCCCGUUGCUUCCGUUCUACUUCCACCUGGGCCUACAAUAUUUCAUCCCAAUGUCUUAUUGCAAAGCAAAAGGUACAUAAAAAUCAACGAACGAUGAAACAAAUAGAAAUAACCUGUAGAGCCUACAUCUGUAACUGUGCAGUGGUCGGUCAUGCCCGUAUCGCGGGGCUAGAGUCCGUGCUCCUUGCUCGGAUUUGGGAGAGACUGGGAGUACUGGCAGUGUCAAUCACGCUAUUUCCAAUCCAAUACCGGCCAUGCUUCUUGUCUCCUCCUACCCUCAUCACAAUUUCUGCAUCAAUAUCCUGAGAGCUCGGAUCGAACUCUGCCCAUGAACCUCCCUUGCCAUUGAUGUGUACUCGGUGACGCGACUGUGGAUGCUAGGAUGGCUGUACGCCUCGGGUGGGUCCUCCGGGUUGAAGUCGAUGUCGGCCGUCGCCUUGCCCUUUUUGGACAUAACCCAUGCCUUGAACCGGGAGCAUUCCUGGCUAUCAUGUGAUGACGUCUGCAGCAAAAAUGCAAAAGGAUUAGAAAGUAUGCAGUAUUGAGUGUGAGAAUAAAGAAAUAAAUUCGCGUAUCCAUUUUUCCUUGUAUUCAUCAAGGCUCAGGCUGCCUUGAUGGUGUGAUGCAUAUGGCAUCUGCAGACGCCACUCCCGGCAAGCAAGGUGGUUCUCCAACUACCCGGGCUGCAACCACACCUCCACCAUUUGUUCCCAGCACCGGAUAGUGCUCGGCACCACCACGGAGGCACCUACAUCAUCAAGUGUGUGACAUAUAACAAAAGAAAUUAAGCAUAAUUAAUCUUAGAAAUAGUGAAUAUUAACUUUCUGUACGUACCGCCAUGAAUUCUUCCUUGGUCAGGUUCAUUGUCCUUGCCUCUUCUUUUUUUGACCUUCAUCCUUCUGAAUUCAGUAUAGAAGUCGAUGAUGGCCUGAACCCGCGCCUCGUAGUGCAUGUCCUUGACGAGCUUCUUGGCAGCUUGUUCAGUGACGGAGGCCACCCUAGCCUCGAAUCCCUCCUGGCAUCUAUAGAAGUCCUGCGUAUAGACACGUUGCAUACAAUUAUUAUUUCAAGAAUGUCUAGCGAAGCUGAUGUAUUAACCAAUGUAGUGCUGCGAAUACUUACCCACAGCUCGGCCUUCACCCGCUCCACCUUGUUCGCGAAUGUCCUGUGGUCACGAUCAUCGACGUCGGCGGCAGCGAUGUAGUGGUCCCACGUGUAGGCUAGCUCCUCCUGUCCGGCGAAGACCACUAGACCAGGGAAGUGUAGCCUACACAAAAGACCAAGGAUGCCGUUGACCUUUCGGUUGUGGCCACCCCCACUGAGCUUAAUCCAACUCCUGCACAAGUAAUUAAUAUAAAUUAUUAGUUUCUAUUGUAAUUUUCAACAUAUCAAAAGUACUGAGAAUAUGUAAAGGAACUUACUUUGCCCCAGUGGGUUGAAUCAGUGGGCAUCUAUGAAGAGGGAUCGGUCACCUCGGGAGGGAUGAGGGACCUCGCAACCAGAUCUUGGACUGCGAAUCCCCUACCUCCUCCCCUUCCUCCCUCUCCUGCUCCUGCUCCUACUCUUCCUGUACCUCCGCCUCGUCACUAGAGGUGUGCGCAAAGGUAUCUCCUCCUCCUCAGACGACCGGACCCCUUUACCCUUUCCUCGACCCCUGCCUCUACCCAGGACAUGUGCCUCCUCUGUUUCCUUGACCAGUGCGUCACCCCUUCCUCCACCCCUGCAUCGACGCCUCCCUCGACCCCUCGAUGCGUCUGACCUUGAAGCUAACCCUGAAGCUGCAGCUUUUAAUUUUUCAUAAAGCGCUGCGAUCUUCCUCGUACCGCCCACCAUUGUUCAAUCACCUGCAAUUACAAAGAGUAAACCAAUCAGCACAGAUAAAACAAAACAUACUUAGGAAGAUAUGCAAAAUAACUAAACAUACUUAAAAAUAACAUGGUAUGACAAAUAAUAAAUAAAUUAGUACGGUCCAUACAUGUAUUAGAAAUAAUCGUCAUGAUCGGAUUGAAGAAGCCAGGAGAAAAGAUCUUCUCCAACUUACAGAGCAACACAGGCGCCAUUCUUUCCAUUUCUGUAACCACGGUCUGAGAUAACUCCUUAGCACAAAGUUGGCGGAAGAAAUUGCUCAACUCCACUAGCAUCUGCCAGACAUGCUCAGGGACAUAGCCUCGAACCAUCACUGGAAGUAGGCGCUCAAGCCAUAUGUGGUAAUCAUGACUUUUGAGCCCGUUGAUUCGCAUAGUAGCUAAGUUCACUCCCCUCUUCAGAUUCACCGCAUACCCAUUAAGCAACAUUAAUGUUUGGAACCAUUCUAAUACCUCCCUCCUUUGGGCCCUCGUCAGGAUGAAAUCGGCCUUAGGCUUUCUCCACGACUUACUAGCUCUGGGAGGCGCCAUGUCUAGCUUUGGUCUGUUGCAUAACCUUGCUUGAUCCACUCUAGCCUUAACGUUAUCCUUUGUGUUUUUAGGAAUAUCCAUGAUUGUACCAAAAAUUGCCUCGGCGAUAUUCUUUUCAGUGUGCAUAACAUCAAUGUUAUGUGGGAGAAGAAGGUCAUCAAAAUAGGGGAGGUUCCACAAGCACGACUUCUGAGUCCAAGCAUGUUGCUUGCCAUAUCCCACAAAACCACCUUCAUGAUUAUUGACCUCAAGAGCGUUUAACUGAGCACGAACCGCGGCUAAGGUCAUCAUCUGCGUUGUGGGGUCGUUAACUACGACAUCUUUCUAAAGUUUUUAAUAUCUCGUCUGAAAGGAUGGUCAGGAGGAAGGAAUUGUCGAUGUUUCUCGAAUGAAGAAUACUUGCCACCCUUCGUCAACCAAAUGAACUUUAAAGAAUCCUUGCAUACUAGGCAUGAGAACUUCCCGUGAACACACCAGCCACAGAAAAUACCAUAUGCCGGCAAGUCAUGCAGGGAGUACUGGUACCAAACAUGCAUCUUGAAGUUUGUCCUUAUAGCUCGGUCGUAUGUCCAUACCCCUUCCUCCCAUGCACGGACCAAAUCAUCAAUCAGAGGCUCCAUGUACACACUCAUAUUAUUCCCCGGGUGUUCUAAAAUUAUCAACGAUAAAAAUAUGAUCUGUCAUUGAAAGAGGACACCAGGGAGGAGAUUGAGGGGGAUAAUGAACAUAGGCCAACAGGUGUAUGGGGCAGCUGUCAUUCCAUAAGGAUUGAACCCAUCUGUUGCCAGCACAACACGUACAUUACGAGCCUCUAGAGCUUUCUCAUGAUAAAUCGCAUCAAACUUUGUCCAGGCUUCACCAUCGAAUGGGUGUACUAGCUUCUCAGUAUUGUAUCGACAUCCGUUUUUGUGCCAUGUCAUCUGUUUCGCGGAUUCUUCACUCAUGUAAAGCUGUUGGAUCCUUGGUAUGAAGGGAAGGUACCGUAGGAUCUUCACAGGGAUUGCAAACUGCUUCUUCUGACCGUCACCAGAGUCUACCUCCAGGAACCUAGACGAUUUGCACUUUACACAGUACUUUGCUUCUGCAUACUCUUUCCUAAAUAAGAUGCAUCCCUUCGGGCAAGCAUGUAUCUGCUCGUAUGGCAUCUUAAGUGCACAAAGAAGUUUUUGUGCCUCAUACAUGUUCUUUGGCAAGAUGUGACCCUCUGGGAGCAGGCUCCCAAAAACUGUCAACAUAAUAUCGAAGGCGUCUCGACUCAAGCUAAACUGGGACUUCACGGCCAUUAGACGUGCAAUGGCAUCCAGUUGAGAAACCUUGGUAUGCCCGUGAAGGGGUUGCUGUGCCGCAGAUAACAUGUCGUAAUAUGCCUUUGCAGUAGCCUCUGGCUCCUCCUCCCUACGUGCUUCAUGAUAGUCAUCUAACAUGUCUCCCACCCUGGCAUCAUCAUCAUAUUCCUCGAUGCGUUGUCUGACGACCUUGUCUCUCCCACGAUCGACUUCACCAUGGUAGAUCCACCUGGUAUAGUCUGACAUAAAUCCGUGCCUAACAAGAAGUUUACCCAUGUCUAGCUUGGUUUGCCGACGCAUGUUUCCACAUUUACUACACGGACACCAAGUAUCUCUUCCUCCUUUGAUCCUUGCAAAUGCCCGUUCCAAGAAAGCAUCGGUCUUGUUAAUCCAUUCAUCGGUCAACGAAUUCUGACUAGAGUGGCCCGUGUACAUCCACUGACGAUCCUCCAUCCUCUAGCAUAUCAGCGAGUAAUAUAAAAAAUCACGUUGCAUCUACACGUUCCUAUACUGUCUAUUAGGUGAAGAUAGGUCCUAAUCCCACCCGAGGAUGUGUAGGUGGGUUUAGUUUCCAUGGUCUACUCCGACCCGAGAUAGAAUUUCGGCAGCACCUCCCCGCUGUUCUCCAAAUACACAUUGUUCCAAUUCUCUCCACUCCACAGCUAUCGUACGNNNNNNNNNNNNNNNNNNNNNNNNNNNNNNNNNNNNNNNNNNNNNNNNNNNNNNNNNNNNNNNNNNNNNNNNNNNNNNNNNNNNNNNNNNNNNNNNNNNNCCUACACAUCCUGGGGCUGUCCAAAAAACGUGGACAAUUUGAAACAAAUACGGUUAUAAAUAUGCAAACAUCUGCAUAUUUCCAACCGUAUCUCUUUCGAACGGGAGACGCCUAACUAGGUUACGUGAUAUACAAACAUCAUACGGAAAGAGAGGUGUAGGAUGCCUCACCUUGCUAUCGUACAAGGUGACGACUCGAGGAUGGUAACGUAGCCUCUCCUGCAAAAAAAAGAACAUACAACUGUCAAGUUAAAUUUUCGACAGCACCUCCCCUGCACGUGGAGGUUUCCAUAACCUGCAUCAAAUAAAAAGGCACGAUGGCCGACAACCACAACUACAACAACGGAAUGGCACGAUGGCCGACUUCCACAUACAGUUCUUAUACCUUAGAUUGCCAAGUCAAACAUCAUUUUCUAAUUUCUAAAACAAAAGCCCUACCACCUCUCUAUCUUACCCUUCCAUAAUUACUAAUUACUUUUGUAAUUUCUAAUUUCUAUUUCAUCCUACCACCUCUCUACCCUUUUCUAAUUUCUAAUUCCANNNNNNNNNNNNNNNNNNNNNNNNNNNNNNNNNNNNNNNNNNNNNNNNNNNNNNNNNNNNNNNNNNNNNNNNNNNNNNNNNNNNNNNNNNNNNNNNNNNNNNNNNNNNNNNNNNNNNNNNNNNNNNNNNNNNNNNNNNNNNNNNNNNNNNNNNNNNNNNNNNNNNNNNNNNNNNNNNNNNNNNNNNNNNNNNNNNNNNNNNNNNNNNNNNNNNNNNNNNNNNNNNNNNNNNNNNNNNNNNNNNNNNNNNNNNNNNNNNNNNNNNGAGGGCGGCAGGCGGCGGGCGGGGGGGCCGGCGGGUGGGGCGCUGGGCGGCGACGACGGAGGGCGUCGGUGGCAGCAGAAAUUUGUUUUGGCGCCUGAGUGUUCGAGUCAAAAGGCCGCGGGACUUAAGUCAGAUUGUUUGCCAAGUGCCCGCGAUCUGGCACUCAGCAAAGCCAGAAGGUUUGCCGAGUGCUAGGUAUCGGGCACUCAGCAAAGUGAAGUUUUAAUUUUUUAAAAAAAAUUCAAUCGAAACACGCGCCUGUCAGGUGGAUUGCCGAGUGCUAGAUCGCGGGGACUCGGCAAAGUUAAGUUUUAAUUUUUUUUAAAAAAAUUUCAAUCAGAACACACGCCUGCUAGUGGACCCGUGUACCUACUUUGCCGAGUAUGUAGCGAAAACACAUGGCAAAACAUUACCUUUACCGAGUGUUUUCACUAGACACUCGGCAAAGUCUAUUGUACAGUUCUUCAAUAACGUGUUUUACUGACCUUUUCUAAUAUACUUGGAAAAAACCGUGUCAAAUUCACUCAGCAAUGGUUAUAUGAUUUUUCUACUGAUAUUAUUUCAUUAUUUCAUACAGUUAUAGCUCAAAUUGAAUUUAUAUCUUUUAAAAAUCUAUAAUUGCAUUUAAUCAAUAAAAAAUGUCAAACGGAUCCGAAAAAUUUCCAAAAUUUGACACUAACCAAUCUAUGUUGUAUGUUGCCUAUACAAAAAGCUUUGAAGUCAAACCCCAAUUCAAGUGUCACUUAGACUCCAAAUUUUAUUGGAUCCUUUCUAACUUCUACGAAUCCUUUCGGGAGAUGAGUCGGUUUGUAAGCAUCAUACGUCAGAAAUUGGGCGAAACCUUCUCAAUUUUUUACCACAGCCUCCACAUAUAAUAUCAUGAUAUCUUGACGAAUCUUGUGAUUUUCAGACUUCAAUUGCUUUUUUUAGAAUUUAACAACCAUUCAACCACACGUUCGUGGUCGUGUUUUCUAGAAAAAAUGUUCAAAAUUUCUUUUCAUUUCCUAGUUGAGACCUCAAUCCAGAUUCAAUAAUAUGAAUAUGAUUUUUUCACUGAUUUUAAUCCAUUAUUUCUAUCACUUGCAGUUAAAAUUUAACUUAAGUAAACAAAUUCCUAUUAAUGCCAUCAAUUCAUUAAAAAUAGCCACAGACCAAAAAGUAGACCAAUUUUUAAGAUGGAUUACCAAAUGUCGUAUGUGGGAAGUAGAAAAAGUGUGGAGGGCAGAGGUGGAAAAAAAAGUUUUGCCUUUGCCGAGUGCCUACAAAAACACUCGGCGAACUUCUUAGUUUACCGAGUGUCUGGACGGAGCACUCGGCAACCUACUUCUUUGCCGAGUGUCCGCGUCGGACACUCGGCAAAGUACUAACGGCCGGCACACUCCCAUAACGGACAGCGCACGUGCGAGCCACGUGCUGGAGAUUUACCGAGUGUCAAGUCGUUGCCGAGUGUCAUGUGGAUGUUUGCCGAGUGUCUUAUUUGCGACACUCGACAAAGCUGUUGUUUGCCGAGUGUAUUAUUUUUGCCGAGUGUUUGCUAGUAUACACUCGGCAAACGGUGUGUUUGCCGAGUGCCCGACAGAAAGCACUCGGCAAAGAUUUUACACUCGGCAACGUUCCUGUUUCCGGUAGUUACCCCACAAAACUCCAACAAUAUUUCAGGUACUGAUUUGGAAAUUCUAAGUUGAUAUCCAUGGACCGGAUCUCUUACUAGUCAAACGCCCAUCAGUACCCAAUAUUAUUUAAUCUCGUUGUUUGAGCACGUGCAGUGCAUCUGUCCAAUUAUAAACACAUGCACAAUUGAAUUUCACAGACACUGAAACAGAGUAAAAUUGCCAUGCCAAGUCUUCAUAAGCCUAUUUCAUACGGAAGCUCUUUUCCAUACGUGCCAGCAAGGCUGCCCAGCUCCUUCGACCAUUAUGGCUGCGCGCUUCAGCUGACAGGGGCGGCAUCCGUACCCUUGCCAUCUCACACCAGUGAAACACUCAUCUUUAAUUCCAGUUGGAUAGGGUCAUAGAUCCUGAAAAUCCAACCGGAAUUAUCUAUUCGGGAUAAAGAAGCUGUCUUUAGACCCCCUUUAAUCUCGGUUGGUAAAAACAACAACCAACCGGGACUAAAGGGGCCGCCAGCAUGCAUUAGCACGCGCCCCUUUAGUCCCGGUUGGUAUUCCCAACCGGGACUAAAGACUUUUUUCUUUUUAAUUUUUUUUUCAUAUUAAUGCUAAUUGUUGCUUCACAUAUAUAUACGUAUACAUCCUUAGCGUACACUACUUAAACGUAUAUGCACGUAUUAUAUGCAAGUCGUGUGUGUGUCUAUAUAUAUAUAUAUUUCAUGAUAGUACUAUAUAUAUGUAUAGAUACAAUUCUUAGUAUAUUAUACACAUCAAACUAUUAUUUAUACAAUUACUAUAUAUAUACAAUAAUUUGCCCUCUUCAUUCUUAGGAUCAUCCCAUUGUAGUGUUGCUCCGUUCGACUAGGAUCAUCCCGUUGUAGUGUUGCUCCGUUCGACUACUAAAUGUCCAUUGUAAUAAAAUUUUCCUUCGAAAUUUAUCACCUCGUCCACUAGAAAUCCUAUGAGACCUUAUUGGAUUGCCAAAAGCCUCUCCUUCUCCAAGAGUUUUUCUUUAAUCCGCAACAUCUGUAAUUUGAAAAUAUGUGAAUGUUACACGGACAAUUAAAUAUAAGGAGCUAGAAAAUAAUUAAUUAGUUAUAGUUUUAUUUUACAUACAUCUAUAUUGUCCGAUAUCACCUUAUCCCGCACAAAAUUGUUCAUGUGCUCAUAGACGUAGUAUCCACAUAAAUUAUUGCCUUGUUCCUGUCUCAAGCACUUUAGUAGAAAAAGUACAAGUUAUGAAAUAUUCGUGUUAUAGAAUGUACAAAAUGUGCAAACUUCCUACGUACCGGGAAUGUUGUAUUGAAUGUAAGUUUUUCUUUGCAUUCACUAUGAUGAGUCUUACGGAAUUAUUUCCAUGCACUGCGAAUUAAAAUAAUGAAUGGUAUAUGAAAAUUUACAAAAAAAAAAACUUUUGCAUAGAGAUAAAGGUCCAGAAUUAUUAAAAGUUUAGCAUAUCUUGAAUGUCUUUGUACUCCACCGGUGGUUUCCUCAAUGAAUCUAACACAAUAAUAUUGCUUUUAUCAAUCAUAAUUACAAGGAGAAUCCAGUGGAAACUGCGUACAUAAAUGUUCAUAUUAGAAUUAAGUAACAUUAAUUAGGUAAGGAAAACGAAAACGAAAAUAGACGGUACCCACACACUUAGUUGUAUGGCAGUAGUAUGUAUUGCUUGUAAUUUUGUGACUCCAAAAAAUUGUAUAUUGCAUUCAAUGUAGGCUUUGGUUGAUCCCGUAUCUAAUCUUGGUUUACGAGCGAUGGAUCCAUGAAGCCAACAUUGAAGUACGAUUUUUUACAGCACCUCAGAAUUAGCAUCUUGCAUAAAAUGGAAGACAAUGUUAGUAGGGCGAUGCACACACACAAAAUAAUGAUCUGAGCUAAAAUUUACAUCUUGAUAACCAGACACUUAUAGGACUUGAUGCUGAUGAGAGAGACGUCAAGAGCAUCCUGAUGAUACACUUGAUAUAUAUCCUUGAAUUGCAACCACAGGAGUUUCUCACACCUUCGCUAAAAAAAUCAAUCGGUUUAACACGAAGAGUGAACAUGAGCCUUUCCUUGGCCGACUGCUCCAUGUACCAUUGAUGGAAUUCAUACAUCUUCGUAGAGAGCUUCCAUACCAAUUCAGGCCUUAGAGGCUUGCCUACCUCAAAGGACCAUUUAGGUACAAUCUUUUCUGGAGCUGGCGGUUCAGCUUGCCCUAGAACAUCAGCAAACGAUAGACCUGUAUUUUUCAUAAACAUAAUGACUUGGAUUUGUUGUUCUAAGGGCAUUGCUGCUAUAACUUGAGCAUCUUUAUCUCCUUGCUCCCUGAGCUGGGGGACAGUACGACUGGAAGAUGACUCUCCUUAUUUUCUCUUCUGAUAAGACUGAGCUAAUGAAUGCUCAUAGUUCGAUAGUAAAAUCUUAUUUACUCCUUUUUUCAUGCCAAUAAAAAACUUUAAUUUCGCUAGAUCUACUGGCUUAGGCUCCAUCAUCUUUGCUUUUCUUUGUUUAGCGCAUGCUUGGAAGAACUCUCUCCCUGUGCUUGCGAUGCCUCCUGCAAUUCCUCAGUAUUCAUAUCGCCUAGUAGCUUCUGAAUGGGUUCAGACUUUUUAUUUUCUUAACAGGUUCUUUCACCUUUGGCUGCCUUGGCUUGGAAUGCGGUGGUCGUGACUUCUUGAGAGGUGCUGCAGGUUCCUUGCUCGCACCAGAGUUUAGUCAGGGAGGGGUGUUUUGGUCGUUGUCACUCGCACCACUAGGAUUCAAUAGAGAUGAAGAUGGUGAUCGAGCCUCAUGCGACGGUCCCGGUGGUGACAACGGUCCUGGAGGUGAAUGUGCUGGAGAUGAUGGUCUUGAGUUCUGAGGUGAUGGUAGCUGUGGGGAUCUAUGGGAAGCAAUGAUGCCUCCUUGCUGAGGAUAAUAACGUUUGUGCCAUAGAAUGAUACCGUGAAGUGCAUCCGCUAGUGUCCUUUUCCCGUCACCUCCUGGGAGGUCGAGCUCUAGGCCUUCAUAUUGACUAUCACAAAUCUGCUCUAGGCCAACGCUGGAGUAACCAGGUGGAAUUUCUGUGCAAUGGCUUGUCUGUCCUGGCAGGAUUAGUAAAACACUUCUGUACGCUACCUGUACAUAUAGGAGAAAUAAAGAAGUUAUUACAUGAAGCACAUUCAUGCCAUGUGCAGAAGUCUAUGGAGAGCCACCUCCGCUCCUCCAGUAUCAGAGAAUAGUGUAAGCAUAUUCAUGCCAUGUGCAGACAUUCUUCUCUGAUAUUGGAGGAGCAGAGGAACCAGCUCUUUAGAAUGUUCCUCUAAGUCUAUGGAGAGUCACCUCCGCUCCUCCAAUACUAGAGAAUAGUAUAAGCACAUUCAUGUCAUGUGCAGACACUGUUCUCUGGGAUUGGAGGAGCGGAGGUGGUACAUCCAUUGCCGGUCCAUCUGCAUCGUAUUACGUGAAAAAUGAACAUAGGAUUUCGUAUUAGAUAAAGAACUUGAUCAAUAUUAGAUAGGGGAAAAAUAGAGUAAAUAUGUUUAUAAUAUUUAGUCCUUACAAUAAACAUGAGAUAAAUAAAUUAUUAGUCAAAGAAAUAGAAUUAUUGUUAAAUUAGAGUGACAUCAAAAAAUUGUAGCAAUGACCAAAUUCUAUUUCUUACACCCUUAAUUUUAUUGCAUAACUAAAUAUUAAAAACGCAUUUACUCUAUUUUUUCCCAUACAUAAUAUGGAUCAAAUUCUUUACCUAAUACGAAUCAUAUAUAACAAGCAAGUUAUUCAUCAAAUUCUAGCUUAAAAAACAUAUAUAAAUAAAAAUCAUUUCCAUUCUCCCUCAUUCUAAAAAACUCAUUUUUCUCUAUCUCUAAAGUAAAACAAAGCAUAAUAAUAAUAAUAAUAAUAAUAAUAAUAAUAAUAAAUGAAGGGAGGAUGAAGUAGCUAACCUUUAAAAUACUUUGGAUGAGUGAAAUUCCCACGGAAAUGAGGAAAAAAAUCGAGCAGCACCUCCCUAAGGUUGCUUGCUCGCCAUGGAGGAGGAAGAAGGUUUGGUGAGUGGCUCGGGCUCGGGGAGGAAGAAGGUGAAUUUAUAGGUGAAUUUACAGGGAUAAAAGCUCCCACCAGUGGUCAGAUUUUUAGCCGUUACAACCGGGACUAAAGAAGGGGCUUUAGUCCCGUUUGGUCUUUCCAACCGGGACUAAAGCUCCCCCGUCGGUGGCCGUGGUGGGUCAUUUGACCCAAGAUUAAAGGCCCUUUAGUCCCGGGUCCAAAGUCAACUAGGACAAAAAAAAUAUUAGAUUGCAGGUGAGUUCUCUACCCGUAUCAGCAUGUCUUGUAUUCUUUAUUUUAUGGGUGGAUCUGAGGGGGGUAGGGUGGCUCUAGCCCCCACCCAAAAAGUUGGAUUGGAGCCAAAGGAGGAAGAUGGGGAGAAGAGGGAAAAGUUAAGAAAAAAAGAAAAAGGUGGAGAUGGAUGAGGACGAAGAAGCAAGCCCCUAAGAUUUAAUCAUGCCUCGGCCAUUGCUUUGUUUCCAUGAUGAAAUGGACAAGUUUAAAUUACUAAAAUUCGCACUUACAGGUUAUGUUUAUUGCCAUGUCAUCUCUCUGCGUGAACCCCAAGUUGAGUCGGCAAAGGUUCUUUUUUCUUUCUCCCACUGACGUGUGGGCCCACAUACUACUGAGGAAGGUCAGCUGACGAGGACAUUACAAACUUGCAAGCCUUAAGCACCUUCAAGAUGUAAGUUUUUUUCAUUUGGCUUUUACUACUGCAAAACAGAAUGUGGACAGCCGAUCGCUUGGAUGGCCCAAUGACUAUUUUUGCCUUGUGUGUGAACGGAACCUGGAAACUGUGAACCAUCUCAUGUUUGGAUGUCCAUAUACGCGACAGUUUUGUGAAGCGAUCAGUUGAUGGACGAAUGUUUAAAUACUAAUUAGGAGUAUUAAAUAUAGACUAUUUAUAAAACCCAUUACAUAAGUAGAGGCUAAACGGCGAGACGAAUCUAUUAAGCUUAAUUAAUCCAUCAUUAACAAAUGUUUACUGUAGCAGCACAUUGUCAAAUCAUGAACUAAUUAGACUUAAUAGAUUCGUCUCACCGUUUAGCCUCCACUUAUGUAAUGGGUUUUGUAAAUAGUCUACAUUUAAUACUCCUAAUUAGUAUCUAAACAUUCGAUAUGGCAGAUGCUAAAAAUAAGCAGAGUAACCAAACUAGGCCAAAAUCUCCAAAGCUCCUGGAAAGAAACGGACAUUCAGGACUGGUUCCUCUCCCUGACAGAGCAAGCCAGGUCUGAUACAAAAGGAAUUUGUAAGCAUGACAAUUGACAAGUCAGAGCACGAGCACGGCAGGAAUUGUAGCCUGGAAUUAAAUAAUCCGGAGGUAAUUAAUUCCCGUCCAACACUCCAGCCUCACUCUGAAGCUGAAGUCUUCGCAGCUGCUAUCCAUGGAAGAAAAUUCAGGCGUGCGGGACGCUUACCCGGUCUCAGACCAACGACAUGUCCGUCAGUAUCCAUUUCAUCUCGUGGGGAAUUGUGUUGGGUCUUCACCAAACAAAAGGUAAGACGAAGUAGCAACACGACACGAAGGUCUUCACCAAACAGUGGCGCUAGGUGGUGGACAUUCUUUUAGCCUAGGGCUACCCCUCUUUCUAUGUUUGUUGCCAUUUGCUGAUCACCGUACACUGUUAUGACCCCCUUGUGCGCGAGUAUUUUCAUGCAUAGGUACAGUUGCCUAAUUGUUGCAUCCAUCUUGGUGAUGAAACCGCGACCAAGUAUUGCAUUAUAGGGGUAGUGUAUCUCCACUACGUCGAAUGUGAUGUGUUCUGUUCUCGCAUUGUCGCGAUCCCCAAACGAGACCGGGAGAGCAAUUUUUCCUAAAGCUUUCACUGGCUUUCCACCAAAGCCGAGAAGUGGGAUGUCGGCUGGGUCGAGCGUGUUCAUAUCAGUGUUCAUUUCUAUGAAGGCGUUUGCAAAGAGGAUGUCCGCGGAGUUGCCCGUGUCAACUAGAACUUUUCCAACCGUCCAGCCCGCUACCAGCACUUUAAUGACCAUCGCAUCGUUGUGCGAGGUUAUCUUGAGCUUGAAGUCUUCCCCUGUGAAGGUUAUGGGCAUGUGUGCCCAUUCUGACUUUGUUGGGGGUCCGUCGGGUACGAUUACAUUGACUUCUCUAAAAUAGUUCUGCCUCUGCCUUUUGUUCUCGAACUCUAAAGAGGAGUCCCCAGUGAUUGGCAUUAUCAUGCCAAAGGUAGGUAAGGAAUUUUGGUUGUUGUUUUGCGUGCUUGGCUCUAGUUUGGGCAUUAUGGCUGGGAUGCUUGGGGGUGGAGGUAGUGUUUCUUGAGGCUUCUGAGGUGGAGUUGGGUUGGCAUGUUGCGGGAUUGUUUGGUGGUACGGUUGUAUGUGUGGCAGAAGAGGCCAGGUCAUUGGUUGCUGAAAAUUGGCGAAGCUAGGCUGGUUGGGGUAAAAGCUUGGGUGCGAGUAAAAAGCUGUGUGGUGGAUUGUUUUGGGUGCUUGCGUGGCUUCUUCUGUAGCCUUUCUCUCUUCUUCUUUCUUUUUGGGCCACCACUCUGUAUUAUGAUGGUUCUGGUGGCCAUGGUUGACGCAGUAGAAGGAUUUUCUGAUGUCUUCCUCGACCUCGUCCUCUACCAGAGUGGUCUCCUCUUUGGGUGUUGUUGUUUUGGCUUUGACUCUAGCUUUGGUUUUGGUUUCCCUCAAUGUUCAUGACACAGUUCUAGUUAGAGUUUUGAGGCUUGUUGUAAGGCGAAGGUUGCCAACUUCGGUUCUGGUUUGCUUGCCGUUCCUUGUUACGUUCCGUCACUCUUUUGCGGUGGUCCUCGUCAGACCUGAUGUAUUCAUCGAGUUUGCUGAAAAGAGCACUCAUCGUUUUGGGCUACUUCCUUGAUAGCUUCGACGCUGUUGGGCCAGGGGUGAGGCCCGCGAUGCAUGCGGAUAUUGCUACGGAUUCCUCAAUGUGCGGUGCUUGGAACGAAGCUGGACAUAUCUUCUUACAUAUUCUGCAAGUGGCUCCUUGUCUUUUGUUUGCAUUGGAAAAGGUCUGCUUGGGCUGUUAGGGGAUGAUGAAAACCCUGAAAGUUUUGUGUGAUCUUCGCCUUGAGGUCAUGCCAGCUAAUCACCGUGUGUGGAGGGAGUAGUGAGUACCAAUUGAGUGCAGCGCCUUCGCAAGCAAUUAUGAAGGACUUGGCGAGGACGACAUCAUACCCUCCGGUCGAAGCUACGGCGGCUUCGUAACUCAUUAGGAAUUAUCGUGGACCUGUCCAUCUGUUGAAUUUGGGCAGGGUGGUUGGCUUGUAUGUUGCUGGCCACGGUGCAGUUUGGAGCCCGAAUGAGAGCGGUGAUGUGGUGUCGACCACGAGAGACACCCCUGAUGAGUGAUGUUGGGUGCCUUGCCCAAAGUUGAGACUGGGUUGGAACUGUGCCUGAUCAACGGUAGGGCUUUGGUGAAAAUAAGCUACGGCUAGGUUUGCAUUCUCAUGUGGGCUUUCAAGCUUCGCAAUUUCUUUCUGUAAUACUUCCAACUGUUGCCUAGCUUCGUUCAAUUUUGAUAGUCUGCUCGAGGCUUCCCUCUGUUGUUGCACCUGUCGUGCUGUUCCUUUUUUCUUUUGACCUCCUCUAUCUCCCGAAGGACUGAGUCUAGCUCAUUGUCUAGGUCAUUGGGGCUUAGUAGCUUCGGGCAUUGUGGGCUGAUGGCUCUGUUGGCCGUCAGUGCGGUUGGUAGCUUCAUUUGCUGUGGGUUGUUGGCCUUGGUGGUUGACCUCAGGUACAGGUCUCUUAUUCAUUGCUUUUGUCCUUAGGGUUUGCUCGACUCUUGCAAGGCAUUCCUCCUUAUCCGAAAGAACCUGAUAUGUGGCCUCGGGAGUUAUAAGCUGAUCGGUCUCCACUGUGCCGACUUCUCUUUGUAUUGCAAGUCUCUUCUUCCGUUGUGGCGGCACCGUAGGCUACUUGUUGGGUCAGACCACGGUGGGUGCCAAUUGUUGGGUCUUCACCAAACAAAAGGUAAGAUGAAGUAGCAACACGAAGGUAAAAAUAUCUCAAGCAAUGUAACUGUAGCUGUCCUAUCAAUGAAUAGUAUCUAUUUUAGACGGGACGGCUCACCUCCCUUUAUAGUGCCAUAAAGUUACAUUUCCGUAUACUUGUUAUACACAUACCCAACAACUACAUCCUAGGCAUAUCCCAUACAAGACAGUGACUUGACCCUUACUCAAGAUGUCGCUUUCAAGUAAGAUUACAUUUCUAGCCCCUCCCAAAAUCUUUAUUACCAAAGUGCUCCUCAGUUGAUGCAACUCCAGGACUAUCCUAACUUCUCCUUUUCCUACUCGUCAGCUUCGCCCGCACCAAGUACGCCUCCGUGCGUACUCCACCUUCGUUGGUCGAGAUCAACUAACCUCGGACUCUGGUUGUGGCAUCUCCUCGAAGUCAAGUCGCUGGGAGUUCCGUGGAGGUUUCAACUUCAGGAAUCCUCGCCUACAAAACCAUAGAACGAACAUCUUUGAACCAGUUAGCUUCGGUUAAUUAUUACCUUCGGGGAAGAGUGUAACCACAAAGUUAGUGUUGGUGUCGGGGAGAGCUCCACGCCAGCUCCGGGGCAUUUAUGGGGCAGUCCCCAACAAAUUGAUGACGUGCAGAAUUGUGCAUCCCCUCGCCAGACUCCAGCUAUAACAAUGUUUGCAUGAUGGUUGGUCUUCUCGCAUUGACAGUAACAGCGCAAUGCUUCGUGUCAGUGAGCUCCCUCUCGUAGCAAGCUCGGUCUUGAUUUUCUCCUUGAUGUGCCAACUCCCUCAUGGCGUCUGGAGCUGCGCUCCCGCCGACCGGAUCGCACUCUCUAGCUUCGCCAACAAUCUUGACGCGGCGAUCAACGGGUGGCCAGGCGCGGAGAUCUACUCCGGCGACUGUUGCCGCUGGAUCGGGGUCCGUUGCCACCGGUUCGGGGCAUAUGAUGGGCUCCGGGUGGUCAGCCUGGACCUCGCCGGCCGGGGCUUUGCUGGCGCCCUGCCGGGCACGCUGGCUCGCAUGGACGAGCUGCGCGUCCUCAACCUCUCCCGGAACUCAAUCCAUGGCGCCGUGCCGCCGGAGCUCCUGCGCAUGCCGCGGCUGCGGGUGCUGGACCUCAGCGAUAACAACCUCACCGGCGAGCUCGGCGGCGCGAAGCCGGCGCCGCCGGAUGCCUCCAGGCUCGUGCACCUCGACAUCUCCCUCAACAACCUAACGAGCCUGCGGGCCGGCGUGUUUCGCGGGCUUCCACGGCUGCGAAGGUUCUCGGCCGAGUCCAACCGGCUUACCGGAGUCGUGCCCAGCUCGCUGUCGGCGUGCUCGGAGCUCGAGUACCUGAACAUGGCGAACAACUCCCUGCACGGCACUCUCGGUUUGAACUUCUCGCGCCUGACGAGGCUCCGCGCCCUCCAUCUCGGCUGGAACCGGCUGAGCGGCCACCUCCCGGCGAGCCUCUCGCGAUGCCGGGAACUCAGGGUGCUCAACCUCCGCCGCAACAACUUCUCCGGGCCGGUCCCGUCAGCUUUCCGGCGCCUGCAGGCGCUGUCCUUCUUCAACAUCGGCAUCAACCGCGUCGCCGGCAUAGCGCAGGCGCUCCGGACGCUCCAGGAGUGCCGCGCCCUCGCCGUCCUAAUCCUCACCAGCAGCUUCCACGGCGAGGAGAUGCCCGCCGCCGCCGCCGGCAUCCGGGGGUUCCCAAGCCUGCGGCUGCUCGGCAUCGCCAACUGCGCGCUCCGCGGCGCCGUGCCGCCGUGGCUGCGCGCCAGCGCCCGCCUGAGCGUGCUGGACCUGUCGUGGAACCGGCUGGCCGGCGAGAUCCCGCCGUGGCUCGGCGGCUUCGACUCGCUCUACCGGAUCGACCUCUCGAACAACGCGCUGACCGGGGAGAUCCCGCUCUCCCUGGCGCGCCUGAGGUCGCUCGCCGGCGACGACGCCCCGUGCGCGCAGGUGUCCAUGUCCGAGUACGGCGUGCUGCUGUACAACUGGCACGUCGACCGGGGUCAGCUCUGGUACGACCGCUACAUCCCGCCGUCGCUGGACCUGAGCGGGAACGACCUGACCGGCGUUAUCCCGCCGGAGAUCGGCGGCCUCCGGGCACUGAAGAUUCUGAACCUGAGCUGGAACGCGCUGUCCGGGCCGAUCCCGGCGACGCUGGCGACCCUGAGCGCCCUUGAGACGCUUGACCUGUCGAACAACGAGCUCGCCGGAGAGAUGCCGGCGUCGCUCGCGAGGCUGACCUUCCUGUCGUGCUUCGACGUCUCCUACAACAGGCUGCGUGGCCUGGUCCCCGUCGGUGGCCAGUUCUCCACGUUCCCCUGCUCCAGCUUCGCCGGCAACCCUGGCCUUCACGGCGAGUACUGUGACGGCAACGGCGUGGUCGGACCGCCCGAGCAUGAUGGGAGUUUCCUCGCCGUUGGAAGCCAGAUGUUUGGGUUGCCGUUCUGGCUCGGGACGAUCUUCGGCCUCUGUGCCACCUGUUUGUUCAUGUUGUUGCGCUAGAGAAAAGCAUCCGUCGUCCAUCAAUAUGGAACAUACUUUUUCUUGAGUGGAUAUAGAACACACUUUUUUAGGAACUCGUCGGAACUUUUCCUUUAUUUUGAUUUCUCUGGUGAUAUACUCCGUAUUACUAGAACUAGUUGUGAUAAAAGUUGCUAUCAUAUUAAAUUUCAUUUGAAUAUAACUAUAAUUGAAUAAUCAUCGACUUUUGUACACGAAACACAUACUACCUCCAUUUUAAAUAUAUGACUUAGAACAAGCAAAAUAAUUCAAAACAUCAUAUAUUUAAACCGAGGGAGCAUAAUUUAGCUAAGCUGUUUGUCGGAAGUUUUAAAGUUUAACAUUUUUCUAAUAAUUAACGGAUGCGUGGUGAGGUACGCAAGUACGCAACUAACGGCUACCCCUCCAUUCCAAAAUACUAUUCAUUUUGACUUUUCUAGAUUCAUAACCUUUUCUAUGUAUCUAGAUAUACGCAAUGUUUAUAUACAUAGCAAAGUCUAGAAAAACCAAAACAAAUUGUAAUUUGGGAUGGAGGGAGAGUAUGACACAUAGCAUUGAGUGUCAAAUUAUUAAAUGCCAAAAUAGUUCCAGAAGACCUAGCCAUUUGAAUGCCGACAAGUACUCCCUCCAUCCCAGAAAGAGUGUCAUUUUAGGUUUGUUCUAAGUCAAACUAUUUUAAGUUCGACUAAGUUUACAACGAAGAGUAUUAAUAUUUAUAACACUAAAUAGGUAUACUAUGAAAAUAUAUUUCAUAAUAAAUUUAAUAAAAUUUGUUAGAUAUCAAAAACAUUAAUAUAUUUUUAUAUAAAUUUGGUCAAAUAUCAGAUGCUUUGAGUUAGAACAAAAUUAAAAUGACACUCCACGUGGGACGGGAGGAGUAUCACAGGGUGGUGCGCUCUUCACUAGAGCAAAGCCCAGAAGCAUACUCAUAAACAGGCCAAAUUUGAUAGGCUGACACCAGUUGGGCCUCUUGCACUUUUCAAGAAAACUCAGCCGCAGAUUUGUUUUGGACCAGCAAUGGUUGCGCAUGGUUUUUAAACUGUAAACCUCAUCUAAGACGCCCAUUUUCGAUUUGAGCCAUCAGAGUAAUACAAAUCAGAUAGUAGUGUCCGUUAUCUUUAAAUUCCAUGCAGAGAGCCAUCUUAUGUGUUGGGGGGAAAUAUUAACGAUCCCCUAACAUACCACUUAAGGAAGCAGACACAAGGGCCCGGGCCCACCUAGGCGUGAUCAAGGCUCCGCCUCGCCCGAUCAAGGGGCGGGGAUCGGGAACGUCCGACCCCACCCUCUCCAAAGUUUCCGCCUCGCCCGACUGCGACCCCGGGGUCGGGGGCGCCCGACCCCUCGCCACGGAGUUCCGCCUCGUCCGACCCUAAGGGAAGGGGUCGGGCGCGAUGGGGCCCCCAGGGCAGGGAUCCCCCUCGGAUGCGGUCCAGAUGGGCAAGACAGACAAAAUCCUGUGGGUCCCCCGUCGGCCUCGCCAUAAAUGCGCCGCAGGACUGGCGGAGGGAAGGGACGACCGCGCUCCUCACGCAACCCGUCACAAGUACCCGUGCAAGCUACAGUGUCGGCGGCUGACUCCCAUUCGCCGCAGGGUACUCAUGGCCUGCGCCGGCCGGAGCGAAGGAGAGACCGGCCUGUCCUUGGGCCCCGCGCGCCCUCGGGACCCGCACAGCAAGGAUGCGACGCCCUCCCUCCGGGAGCCAUCGUCUGAACAACAGCAUCCACCGUCCUCCCCAACAGACACCAGGAUAACGACGGAACGCCCUCAUCAUGACCCGACGCCUACGGGUAUCGAAGGAGCUACCUGUAGGGUGCAACAACACUUGGCAUACGGCGGCCUCCCCCUCCGGCAUGCGCGCCGGCGUUCGCCCAGGGCCGGCAGAGGCGUCGGACGCCUAGGAUCUUGCUCCUCCUUUCCUGCCGUAUUUUUUACCAUUCUACACUUUACUCUUUACAGUCCUCUUUACCCGAUCCCAACUGUAACUCCGGCCACCCCCUUGCGAUAUAAAAGGCGGAACCCAGGGCCGGAGGGGGGAUCGGCUUCUUCUCCCACAAGCCACAGCACACAACGACUCACCCGGAGAGCAUAAGCACUAAAGAGACUUGGGACCAGUCCCUCUCUCGUCGAUCUGUAACCCCCUACUACAGAACCCCACGUGGGCAACACGAACAUCCUCGAUACUGGACGUAGGGCUUCCCUUGCCCGAACUAGUCUAAAUCCAUAUCUCCCACGCCACCACCUGAGGCUUUACGCGCAUAAAAGAAAUUUACUAGUCUAAGUCUUGAUCCGCCGAUCCUGACAACGACAGUUGGCGCGCCAGGUAGGGGACCUUUGCGCGUACAUCUCCAGCCUCAGAUGGCCAAUUACGAUAGCAGCUUUGCUCCGGGCUCCCUAAUCCGUUUCGGGAGCCUGGACUUCCUCGCCACCGGGGAAGGGAUCGAGCUGAUCCCUGUCGUCGUCUUGCCCGCUCGUCCUGCUGCCCUCGGCCCCGCCGCCAGGACAGCGGCGAGUGGCCAGUCGCCUACCAGAAGGACCUCACCAGGGGGACAGCCCUUCGGGCUACGCAACGCCACGGGGGCAUACGGACGCCUCCUAGCGCGGUCCUUGACCACGUCGCCCGCGAGCAGCGAGCUCGUAGGCGUGGGGAGGACAAUCUCUGACGCUGGCUCCAGCAGCGGGAGUCCUCACCCCUCGCGCGAGUGCCUUGUGGUCGACACGCACUCUGAGGGGUCCAACGGCGAUGAUGCCGAGGGGAGACGACAGGCUCCCCCCUCGCGCGCCGCUGCUACAACUGGAGCCUUACCAAGGGCCCCGGAGGGCUCUCGGCAACCAGAAGCGCGCGUGGGCGCCCACCAAGAAGUAGAGCACCCCCACCACGAAGGGGGAGCGCGACAACGGGCGCGCGACGUCCAGCAACGCAUCUGCGCGGACGGAGAGCGUCCGCUGCUCUUUGCCCGCGCUAGCCAAAACGUCGCAGCCGCGACGGUGUUGCUCCGACAGCUCCCCGAACCAGCGACGCCCGAGGAGCGACGGGCACGCCAAGAGAUAAGCAACCUGCUCGAGUGCGCUGCCGUCCAGCAGGCGGAAAGUUUGGCGUCCCGGCGACGCGGGCAGAACGCCAGCCGGGCGACGCCUGACGCGCCCCCAGAACGGCGGGGGAAAUCUGUCCAUCAACCCCCUCCGGGGGCGAAUCACGCCGCGUCCGCCCGACGGACCCCGCCACCCGCGGGAGGCGAGGCUCGAUCCGUCCACCAGCGUGUCGGUCUCGUCCGCGACGCCCGCGACACCCUGAACGUGCGGAGACGCUCCCGCGCGGACAGGGAGGACGGGGCAGAUCGAGGCUACCACGUCCACCGUGGCGGGCGCUACGACAGCGGGGAAGACCGCAGCUCGAGCCCAGGAAUGGCUGGGCCUCGGGCCUUCUCCGCGCGCAUCCUAAAUGCGCCCUUUCCGCCGCGCUUCAGGCAACCCACGAGUGUAGCCAAAUACUCAGGGGAGACAAAUCCUGGAGUAUGGCUCAGCGAUUACCGGCUUGCAUGUCAAGCCGGCGGGGCGGAUGAUGACCUGUUUAUCAUCCGCAACCUACCCCUUUUCCUGGCAGACUCCACACGAGCUUGGCUAGAACAUAUCCCUUCGGGACGCGUUCGCAACUGGAACGACCUGAAAGAGGUUUUCAUAGGAAACUUCCAAGGGAUGUACACGAGCCCCGGCAACUCCUGGGAUCUCCGGAGCUAUCGUCAGGGGGCGGACGAGUCCCUCCGGGAUUACAUCCGGCGCUUCUCCAGAAAGCGCACCGAGCUCUCCAACGUCGCGGACGCCGACGUCAUAAGUGCCUUCCUAGCAGGGACCUCUUGCCGACCCCUCGUCCACGAGCUGGGGCGCCGAGGCCUGCGAACCACGGAAGAGCUCCUCAAUAUCGCCACUAGCUACGCCUCCGACGAAGAGGCAGUCGGAGCGAUCUUCGAUCGUUCCAAAGGCAAGGCGAAACGAGAGGAGGACGCCGACGAAGGCACUUCCAACCGCCAGCAGAAGAAGAAGGGCAAGCAGCGGCGCGAGGCCCCCCUCGUGGCCGCAGUCGAGCGCAAGCGGGGGCAGCCGCCCCCCGAAGGCGCUCCCGGCUUCUUCGACAAGUUUCUCGAGGGACCGUGCCCGAACCACGAGUUCCCCGUCAAGCACGCCUACAAAGACUGUAACCUCAUGAAGAGGUACUUUGUGGGCAAUCCAGUGAAAGGCGACCGGAAGCGGAAGCCUGAUGAGGAAAAGAAGGGUGACGAAGAGAAGGAAGACGGCUUCCCUAAAGUCGACGGCUGCUUCAUGAUCUUCGGCGGCUCCGCAGCGUACGACACCAAGCGCCAGCAAAAGCUGGAGCGCCGGGAGGUCUACGCGGCCGAGCCUGCGACUCCGGCCUUCCUCGACUGGUCCGGGCCGGCCAUCACCUUCGAUAGGUCCGACCACCCUGGACGCGUCCGACAUCCGGGGCGUUAUCCUCUCGUCGUUGACCCCAUCGUCGGCACGACGCGCCUCACCAAGGUACUCAUGGAUGGGGGCAGCGGCCUCAACCUCCUCUACGCCGAGACUCUCGACGCUAUGGGGAUCGAUCGCUCCCGCCUCCGUCCCAGCAAGGCACCCUUCCAUGGCGUCGUGCCAGGGAAGCAGGCGACGCCCCUCGAGCAAAUCGACCUGCCCGUUACGUUUGGGACCCCUUCCAACUAUAAGAAGGAGGUCCUCACCUUCGAGGUGGUGGGGUUUCGCGGAACCUACCAUGCCAUCUUAGGACGGCCGUGCUACGCGAAGUUCAUGGCAAUCCCCAACUACACCUACCUCAAGCUCAAGCUGCCAGGGCCCAACGGGGUCAUCACCGUCGGCACAACCUUCCAGAAGGCAUAUGAGUGCGACGUAGAGUGUUGCGAGUAUGCCGCGGCCAUCACCGUCACGAGCGGCAUGGCUGUCCAGCUUGCGGAGGUGACCAAAGAUCAACCCGACGCCAAGCAGUCGAAUACCUCCUUUGAGCCCACCGAAGGUAUCAAGGAAGUCCCUCUCGAUCCCGGCUGUUCCGAUGGUGGGGUUGUGCGGAUCAGCGCGGCUCUAUCCCCCAAAUAGGAAAGCGCGCUCGUCGACUUCCUCCGCGCGAACAGCGACGUCUUCGCGUGGAAGCCCUUGGACAUGCCUGGCAUCCCGAGAGAAGUCGCCGAGCAUUCCUUGAACAUCAGGGCCGGCUCCAAACCGGUGAAGCAAGGCUUGCGCCGUUUCGACGAGGAAAGGCGCAGGGCCAUUGGUGAAGAGCUCCAGAAGCUCCUAGCGGCCGGGUUCAUCAAGGAAGUGCGCCACCCCGAGUGGCUGGCCAAUCCUGUCCUUGUACCAAAAAAGAACGGGAAAUGGAGGAUGUGUGUCGAUUAUACCGGUCUCAACAAAGCGUGUGCAAAGGAUCCGUUUCCUUUGCCACGCAUAGAUCAAAUAAUCGACUCAACCGCCGGGUGCGAGACCCUCAGCUUCCUCGACGCAUAUUCCGGUUACCACCAGAUCGCGAUGAAAGAGGCCGACCAGCUCGCUACCUCCUUCAUCACCCCCUUUGGUCCCUACUGCUACGUUAAGAUGCCGUUCGGCCUCAAAAACGCGGGGGCUACCUUCCAGCGAUGCAUGCUGAAGUGCUUCGGAAAUCUCAUCGGGCGAACCGUUGAGGCCUACGUCGACGACAUCGUGGUUAAAUCCAGGAAGGGUGACCAGCUCGUUCCCAACCUGGAGCUAGCCUUCAAAAGGCUGAGGGAUAAGCGUAUUAAGCUCAAUCCCGAGAAAUGUGUGUUCGGUGUCCCAAGGGGCAUGCUGUUAGGAUUCGUCAUCUCCGUGCGCGGCAUCGAGGCAAACCCGGAGAAGAUAGCGGCCAUCAGCGACAUAGGGCCAAUCCGGAACAUAAAGGGGGUGCAGCGCGUCAUGGGGUGCUUAGCAGCUCUAAGCCGCUUCAUCUCGCGCCUCGGCGAGCGAGGUCUUCCUCUCUAUCGGCUCCUGAAGAAGUCUGACCGCUUCGAAUGGACCAGCGAGGCCCAGGAGGCACUUGACCGACUCAAGGACCUCCUAACAAAGGCCCCAAUUCUAGUCCCGCCCGCCGACGGCGAGUCCCUCCUGCUCUACGUCGCGGCGACCACCCAGGUGGUCAGCGCGGCCCUAGUGGUGGAGCGGGAGGAGGAGGGUCACGCUCUUAAGGUGCAACGCCCGGUGUACUUCAUUAGCGAAGUCUUGUCCGAGUCCAAGACACGAUAUCCACAGAUCCAGAAGCUCGUCUACGCCAUCCUUAUCACGAAGAGGAAGCUGCGUCACUACUUCACCUCCCACCCGGUAACGGUCGUUUCAUCAUUCCCGCUUGGUGAAGUAAUCUGGAACCCAAAUGCCACAGGAAGGAUCGCGAAGUGGGCGCUCGAGCUUAUGGACCAGGGUAUCACCUACGUCCCCCGCACCGCCAUCAAGUCCCAGGUACUUGCCGACUUCGUGGCCGAGUGGACGGAGGUACAAGCACCGUCGGUGCCAGAGGAGCAGGAGUACUGGACGAUGUACUUCGACGGGACACUGAUGAGGGCCUGCGCCGGAGCAGGCCUCGUCUUCGUCUCUCCAUUGGGCGUGCACAUCAGGUACAUGAUCCGCCUCCAUUUCCCUGCAUCCAAUAAUGUCACCGAGUACGAAGCCCUACUCAACGGGCUCCGCAUCGCCAUCGAGCUGGGUAUCCGUCAGCUAGACGUCCGGGGCGAUUCUCAGUUGGUCGUCGAACAAGUCAUGAAGGAGUGGAGCUGCCAUGACCCCAAAAUGGCAGCCUACUGCAACGAGGUCCGUAAGCUCGAGGACAAGUUCGACGGGUUGGAGCUCAACCACGUCGCAAGGCGCUUCAACGAAGCCGCUGACGAGCUGGCGAAGGCGGCGUCCGGCCGGAUGCCCGUCCCCGACGGCGUUUUCGUUAGCGACCAGUUGAAGCCUUCAAUCCGUUAUCUGGAGCCGGCAGGGGUCGGCGAAGCACUCCCAGCCCUGGGGUCGGGACCCGAGCCGGGGGAGGCCGGCAGCGCGCCACCUGUCCCGGACCCGAGCACCGGUCCCGAGGGAAUCAACGCUGCCUUACCCGACUCGGCCCUGGAAGCCAAGCCGUCCGACCCCGUGGUCAUGGAAAUCACGGCAGACCCCGCGGCGGGGGCCGACCCCCAAUCGACUGGAGAACCCCGUACCUCGACUACCUUGUCCGCGGCACGCUCCCGGCAGACAAAACAGAAGCCCGCAGGAUCGCGCGCCGUGUAAAAUCCUUCACCAUCAUUGACCAGGAGCUCUACAAGAGAAGUCAUACUGGGAUCCUCCAGCGCUGCAUCCCGAUCGAGCAGGGAAAGGCGCUGAUCCAGCAUAUCCAUGCUGGGGCUUGUGGUCACCACGCCGUGCCAAGGACACUCGUUGGCAACGCCUUCCGACAGGGUUUUUACUGGCCAACCGCGGUCGCGGAUGCCACCCAGGUAGUCCGCACCUGUGAAGGAUGCCAGUUCUUUGCCCGCCAAACUCACCUGCCCGCGCAGGCAUUGCAAACCAUCCCCAUCACAUGGCCGUUUGCGGUCUGGGGGCUGGAUCUCGUCGGACCCUUCAAGAGGGCGCCCGGGGGCUUCACCCAUCUGCUCGUCGCUGUCGACAAGUUCUCCAAAUGGAUCGAAGCAAGACCAGUGGCGCAAAUCAGGUCCGAGCAAGCGGUACAGUUCUUCACCGACAUCAUCCACCGCUUCGGGAUCCCAAAUUCCAUCAUCACCGACAACGGCACGCAGUUCACCGGGAAGAGAUUUCUCCAGUUCUACGACGACCACCACAUUCGAGUGGAUUGGGCGGCAGUGGCGCACCCCCGCACGAACGGGCAAGUCGAGCGAGCCAACGGCAUGAUACUCCAGGGUCUCAAGCCACGGAUCUUCGACCGCCUUAAAAAGUUCGGCGGACGGUGGGUUGCGGAGCUUCCAGCAGUCCUCUGGAGCUUGAGGACGACCCCCAGCCGGGCGACAGGGUUCACCCCGUUCUUCAUGAUCUAUGGGUCAGAGGCCAUUUUGCCCACCGACCUAGAGUACGGAUCACCGAGGGUCAAGGCAUACGACGAACAGGGAAACCAGGCAUCACUCGAGGACGCACAAGAUCAACUCGACGAGGCACGAGAUGUAGCCCUACUACACUCGGCUAAAUACCAGCAGGCCCUACGGCGUUACCACAGCCGCAAGAUACAAGGCCGCGCCUUCAACGUCGGUGAUUUAGUGCUCCGCCUCGUCCAGGACAACAGGGAUCAGCACAAGUUGACUCCCCCAUGGGAAGGCCCGUUCAUCAUCGUACAAGUACUACAACCAGGCACCUACAGGCUGGCAACUCCCGACGGGCAGAUCUUCAGCAACGCCUGGAACAUAGAACAGCUAAGGCGCUUUUACCCAUAGCUUUUAUUUCCAGGUUCUGCAUAAACUUGUCGUCAUUUCCGUUCUUUCAUUUAAGCUCAGGGGCAUCCGACCCUGGCCUCGUUCCAGGGCCGCAUACCCCUCGGGGGCUACCAGUUUUGUUCUCUAGCGAAAAAAGAAACCCCGAGCCACCUCGGUUCAGGCCUUUUCCUUUAAGCUCAGGGGUAUCCGACCCUGGCCUUGCUCCAGGACCGCAUACCCCUCGGGGGUUAUCAAGGGUCCCGACCCCAGCCGCUUGGCGCCACCUAAAAGAAACGGUUUUUUCUUUUUCAAACCGAACACUCCCUUUCUAGACCUUUGGACGCAAAAAGAGAAGGAUGCGUGAAUGGUGCUCAGGCAAGUUUUGAUCGGACCGCGAAAAAACCUACGCCCCAGCGGCUACGGCACCUUCGCUCAUCAAAACUUAUUGACGCACCCGGCAACGCAUUCUAAGCUUUCGAGCCCAAAGAACCAACAAAGGGAAUCGGGUUUUUUCACGCAACAAAAGUCAUAGAACAGGCCCGUAUGGCCAACGCAAAACGAGUUCAAAGACUGACAUAAUUACAAACUUUUUUGGGGCGCCAGCCCGGCACAGCUAACUUGACGAGGGGUCGGCAGGAGGGGCGGCCUCAUCCUCCAGGAGCUUCGUGAGGGCCUCCGCCGGCGCGGUCACCGCGGCAUCGAUCUCGUCCAGCUCAGCUUCGGUGUAGCUCGCGGCGUACCCUUCACUCAUCCCGGCAAAGUUGAUGCCAGAAUAGUGAGAGCCGAAGACCCUGAAGGCUCGCCGCACGCCAAGGUGAAGCGCGUCCACGGCGAUCUCGCGACGGCGAUGGCGUACCCCGAGGACACGAGCCGGCAGAGAGCUCGACCCCUCCUCCAGAGCUACGCCAAAGUCGUCGCAGACGACGCGGGCCGCAUCUCGCAGGGCGCUGUGCUCACCGCGCUCCUCGUCGAGCAGGCCCCGCAACUUGGCGAUUUCACCUGCAGAAACCACCCAGAAAAUCCCACCAAGUCAGAGAACAGAACACAAACAACACGGGAACGCAGGAACGGAAAAAACCUCACCGUCGGCCUGGGUCUUCAGCUCACGCUCCCGGUCGGCCCCUCGGGACACGGCGGAUUGAAGUCCCUGCACUUGCGAGCGAAGUUGGCCGGCCUCCGUGCGGAGGGCGUCACGCUCCCCCCUCAGCUGCGCAAGCUCCUCGGCGUCGCGGCGGGCCCUCUCAGUAGCAGCUUGAAGCCCCUCGGCAUCACGGCGGGCCCUUUCGGCGAUGGCCUGGAACUCCUCGAGGUCGAGGCAGGCCUUCUCGGUGACGGCUUGGAGCCUGGCCCCCGCACGCCACGCCUCCUCCGACGCCGCCCGCUCACGCCCUUGCAGGUCGCGAAUGACCCCCUGGGCGGCGCCGAGUUGCAGGGACAGGUCCCUGGUGCGCUCCCUUUCGGUAUUGAAGCGAUCCCAGAGACCCUGCUACCGCCGGAGGAAAUCAGAUUUCCCCCAACUGCCCUCUUGGAGAGCCUGCAAAGCAACACGCCGUUAAGGCAAAAGGCAGAAGGGAGGUACUCAUCACCAACAGUAGGAGCAACAUACCUGGCUGCCGAGGAGGACGGUGUUGCCCAGAACUCCCAGCGCCGAAGAC